This 68368-nucleotide long non-coding RNA is filed under the name Citrus x clementina. Its description in RNAcentral is "Citrus clementina (C. clementina) long non-coding RNA (CCLE_LNC006798)". Lineage: Eukaryota; Viridiplantae; Streptophyta; Magnoliopsida; Sapindales; Rutaceae. The record is from RNAcentral.
GCCACAUCAGUUUGUACAAAAUAAAUUUGUACAAGAGUUUGUGGCUGUAUCAUUACUCUAUUUAAUUUAACCAAUCUUAUCAUGCCACAUCAGUUUGUACAAAAUAAGUUUGUACAAGAGUUUGUGGCUGUAUCAUUACUCUAAAGCUUAUUAAGUCCAAAAUUAAAAUUAAAGCUAAAUGAUAUUUGCGAAUUUCACCAUGGCCAAUUCUUUUACGCUUUUGUCUUCCUUUGUCAUAUUUGUUGCUUUCCAUAAUGUUGUGUGUAUGUAUACAAAAUAAGAACGCAAUGUUUGUAUUCCAGCUAAUAGGAUUAUGACGCUGCAUCAUCAUAAAUUGCCGUACGUGGUGUGGGUACAAGUGCAUGGUUUUAAUUGUUUUAUUAUUUCACUUUUACAUGGUGAUUUAUAUGAGAAUUAUGCAAAUGUCACAUAAGUUGGGAUUACAAAUUAUAUAUUCUAACCUUAUAAUAAAUGUGGCGCUAAUACUCUUGUGGGCACGCAUACAAUCCUAAUCAUAUAUUAAUUUUCAAAUUAAAAAAACAUAGUACUGACUUGAUUUUUCUUCUAUGACUAUUUUCUCCGAGUAACAAUAUCUAUAUAUAUAUAUAUAUAUAUAUAUAUAUAUAUAUAUAUAUAUAUAUAUGAGGGUGGAAAACUGCUAGGCCCAUAAUGUAAAUUUCAGUACACUCAUCUAACAAUAAUGAGUUUUUGUGAUCAUAAAUGAACGUAGAACAAAAGCAAAUUAAGAUAUGAAUAUAUAUAUAUAUAACAUUUAUCAAUGUAUAUUACAGCGUUUCAGAACAGAGAGCUACAACUCAUCUUGUUUGAUGACACUUCCAUGUCAAAUAUCACAUGAAGUGUCUAAACUGCUAGCUUAUAUAUACAACUAUAGCUAGACUAACAUAUCAUCCGCUAUAUAAAGAAGCAGCACUAGUUCUUGACAGCUAAAAGACAAUGUACCCAAUAAACUAAUUAAGGGAUCAAGAAGCAUUAAAGAAAUGGCUUAUGAUUCCCCCCCCAAUAAUCUGAUAAUUAAAUCAUAAUAACCCCAGAACCAAUGAUCCUAAAUACAAACUGAUAGCUUUUAUUUUUUUAAUAUAUAUGCUUAAAAUGCUUUCUGAUAGAAGCCAUCAAUCCUCUUCCAAGAGUCUUCCCUUUGCAUCUUCAACUGCUUGUAAAAAUUCCCGAUAAACAUCUCAGCUUUAGUAAACAGCUCUUGCCCACUUAGCCCUCCAACUUCUUCUUCUUCCUUCUCUUCAUAUAGCCCAUCACCAAAUACUUGAUGAUCAUCUGCCGUUUCGGUCUCUCCACUUCCAAUGAAGAAAAGGCUCGGCGUCGACGGACACUUCUUCAGUUUGUUAACCUUGACAGCACCAGAGAUCUUCUCAGAGACAGACUUUUCGACAGCUUUCACCUUCUUUAUUUCACUGUUUGGAGGAGAAGCACCAGCUUUUGUAGCCUCAUCAUCAGUAGAGGCUCCUUGAGCAUUCUUGUGAUCUUCUGGAGGCUUGGAGGGACCUGACGAGAGAAGGCCAGCUUCGGCUCCAAGAGCUAUAAUGAGAAUAUUGAAGACAAAGUAUAGAUAGGUUGGCCUUAAUGAGGAGGACAAGAGUGGUGUUAUGAUUAACAGUGAAGCUAAUAGAGAAAGCAUUAGGAUUUGGGACUUCUUGAACACACCACUGUUCAUGGCUUCAAUUCAGCUGAGUUGAGUGAGUGAAAAUGAUGAUGGGAUUUUGAACAAAUUUGAAGAAUGAUAUUGAGAUGUAUAAUUAGAAGUGUUUGGUGGUAGUAGAGAUCAAGCGGAGGCUUCUGGGAAUAUUUAUAGAGGAAUUUGUAUAUUACCUGCAUGGAUACUAUUAUUAAAAAAAAAAAAAAAGAGUAAAGAAAAAGAAAAAAGUACAAAAGACAUCUGUAAUGUCAAAGUUUUUAUAUAUCAUGAGAGGCGCCCUGAUUAUGUUUGAUAAUUUUUAAUCCUUAAUUAUAAUCAUAUUAUGUACGACACAUUUCCAUUUCGGAUUAUAAAGUAGAGGUUGAUAGUUGAUAACGUAGUAGAUAUGAAUUUAAAUUCUAUAAAGAUUUAGUUGGGUUAAUUUUUUUAAAAUCUUAUGUUAUGUAUAUAUUUAUAAGAAUAGUCGAUGAAGAUUUAAUCACAUAUAUAUUCUUAUUCGCUAACUAUCAAUUACUAUCUUAUAAAAAUAUCAACACAAAUCUCAGAUUAUCACUAAACCUAAAUUCAGUAUAAAGUUUAAGUACGUUGAGGAAAUUUUAGUGAUGAGAUGUUCUAUUGUAUCACUUUUAUUGUCUCAAUUUGGAUUAAGCUAACAAGUACUCUGAUCCAUAAUCUUCAAUACGAAUGAAAUUCUUAUACCCUUAUCUUAUUAAAAAAGAGACACUCUUGCAUUAUCAACCCUCCAAAAUCAAUAUCAUAAGAGAUAAUUAUAGGUUAAUAGAUAAAUUUUCAAACCAAUUAACAUUAACGUUAGCAACACAGAGAGAUAGAAACAAAGCAUUUGCAUGAAAAGAGGAGAGACAAGAAAUAUAGAGACGAGAACGUGCAAGGGGGAGAAGAUGUAAAUAUGAUUGGACAAGGCUUGAUAAGGUCGGUGAAAGCGAGCAUAUUCUCCAAUCUCUAUUCACUUUUUUCGAUUUGUUUUCUUUUAUUUAAUUUGUUGAACGAAGAAAUGCAUAUUCGCCAAACUUUAGUUUGAUAAGCUCUUUGCCCGAUUCUUACACAAACGUGCGGUUUGGAUCGCCACUACAGAAUUGCCUCAAACUUCAGUUACCCUCAGUAGUGGGUCCCACAUGUGGAGUUAUUGUAGAAUCUUUGACUUUUGACCCCACCACAGAAUAUGUCCGCCCAACUAGCAUGUCUCACUUGUAAUUAUUGCGCUUGUGGUCCCCCGAGUGCGUUCUUAUGGCCCGCUUUUUGACUCCUAUCAGGCCUCGCUUGGGCCGGCCCAUUCUGCGAGCCAGCUAACUACCCCUUACAGUAGUACUCGUGUGACUUAAACCUUCAUAGUACUGGACUAAGAAAAAACAAAAAUAUUUUUAACGAGGUUAUUUACUCAUCAGUUAAUGAAUAUAUAUAUAUAAAUUUAUCAGCAAAUAAAUAUUUAUUAAUUUAAAAAAUAAUUUUAUAUUUUACUUACUCGUGACAUCUUAGUACGUGUACUAUUCCUUUUACUAAUAUUCAUGUAAAAAUUUUCAAAAGUCAUAAAUGUUAUGUACAUGUAUGUAGAUGCCCCAAAAUUAAUGUAAAUACAUAAAAUUGAUGUAUGUUAGCUGUACUUUUCAAACUUAAAUACCAUAUAAAAAUAAAAUAUUUCAGAUACUUAAAGUACAUUAGUCGCUUGUUUUAUUUUUAGGUUCAAAUCAUUAAAUGCAUGCUUUGGAAAGAGUUGAAUUAAGAAAAUUGAAGUUGUCCCCCCCCCCCCCCCCCAAAAAAAAGAAACUCCUUAAUAUUAUAAGUUUAAUAUGUUAUGUACUAUUAUAAUUUUUUUUUUGCAUUUGAUUAAUUAUUAAUUUAUAUUUUUAUGGGACCCUAAAAUAUUUGAGGGAAAAAAAGGAAAUUGUUAUCUUACGCGUUUAGAAAGAUUAUUAAUUUAAUAUAUUAACCUAAGUUAAGACCAAUAAAUUUUAUUAUUUAAUUAAAAAAAUUAUUAAUUUAUCAAACAAUAGCGAGGUUUAUCUUUGAGAAAGUUCUUGCGGGCGCAAACAAAGAGGGCAUUUCAAGGCAAUAAUCAACAUCAAUUUGCUUUUUCAAUUCCUAGGAGAAUUUUAAUUUUAUGAUCCCCCAGGAAAAGUGGAAUAACAAAAAUGUGAAAAGUUAUUUGGAUUUUCGGCAAAUAUUUAAUCCAUAUCAACCCUUUUUCAAAUCUCUGUGUUCAAGUUUAUCCAUGCUUUGCCCCACCUUUUUUUUUUUCUUUUUCCCCUCAGCAAAUUGAACGAUUACAUAAUCAUCUUCAUCUCCAUUGGCGGGUAUGCAUUGGAGAAUCUUUUCACCAAGUCUUUUCUGACUGCAUUUACUUUCCUACGUGGGUCAGAUAACUCGAUUAAAUUCUCAAAGUAGCAAAAGAAAUGUUCAACACGCACACUAAUCUUUUGAUUACAAACUUAAUAUGGGAAUUAUUCCCUGUCCAUGUGACAACUAAUCACCAUUGUAUUUUUGGUUAUAAUUGGCCAUUUUUCGGGCCUUUUCUUUCUUCUUUCUUUUUCCUUUCAAAAUCUGUCAGCUUAUGUGCAAAUUGCCAUGAAGUGAUGCCAACUAGGCUCCGUAGAUACACCAGCUGGAAAGCUCGACCUACGCUCCGCUUGCUAUGAUGUAUGACAAGAAUCAAAGGUCGAGUUCCAUUAUUAGACAAGAUUUUAUUCUCCCUAGACGAAUUGUGCCCGUAAGUUAGUAUUAUUUUGUCGCGGUUUGAUUUUAUCAAACACCCGUAUUAUGAUGCUAGGUGGAGACACCUUAUCAUAUGCUUCAAGCUACCAUGCCUUGAAUCAAUAUGAAAGAUGAAUCUAUCCCACUAGGCUCGUUCGAGGCAAUCCAGUUGUCAAUGCAAACAAAACCCACAAGUAGAAUUUGAUUUAUCUGAAAGAAAUGAUCUUCUUUUCUGAGUUUCAACCAUUGAUUUGGUUGGUCUUUUUGCAAGCUGAGAUUGUUAUUUGAGAUCCCACCAAAACAAAGAGAUGGCCAUUAGCUGGCUUUACUCUUUCUAGUUUUGGAGCCAAUAAGCCUACUGUCAAUCCCUUCACCCCUGGAAGACAAACUGGAGAUGUUGCUUGUGAUUUUCACCAAUCCUUGAACUGGUGAUCUUCACCCUGCCUCCUACACUUAACUCCAUUCAUCUAAUUCCACUUGGCAUCAACAUGAUUAAAUGGGCUGCAAGAUCAAAGUCAUAGUGCAGACAAUUUCAAUGCAGUAGAUCGAUCGUUAAAAGUUGAUAAUCAACUUAGUUCCUUUUGUAAUAAGACAAAGUCCUUAGUUAAACACAUAUAUUGUUAAAUGAUCGUUUAAAAGGAGAGGUAUUACAUGACCAAGAAACAUAUCACUUUGGGAGCUAUCAAUCUAGCACAUAUUCACAAAAUGCACAUAUGACCAAUAUCAUACUCUAAUGACAACCGCGAUAUCUACAUUUGGCUUACAUCUUUGUUUAGUCUUUUUCUUGCAUUGCUUUAUAGGUCAUCAAAAAACUUGAUAACAAAAGAAGCAUGGAACCUCAAGACAUUAAAAGAAUAAUGUGGCAUUCUAGCUAUGAUGCAUCUUGGACCUGUCUGUCAGUGUUUUGCUGAGUGGAGUGAAGAUAUAUACUCAGAUCAUCUAAACUGGGGCAGUCACGGAUGAUUAAACCAUGCUCAUUGGCCAAAUGCAGGAGGCAAAUGAAGCACAAAUGGGGCGAAAUAUCCUUUGAAGCUGCAGCUGCACAGUCAGCAGGAAAUGUUCCCAAUACAUGUCGGAAAGAUACCUUGUCCUUGCAUACCUUUUGAUAAAGGGGAAAGCACCGCAAUGAGAAUAUUGAGUUCAAGUUAAUUCAAAACCUGAAAUUAAAAACAUCUGCCAUAGACACACUAGAAAAACGAAGAUGCUAAGGGGAAGGAAGAGUUCUCUAGCAGCAUUAUAAAUUUUAACACAGGUAUCAAUGCUAUCAAAAAAUACCAAGAGAAAUUAGAACACAGUGCAUAUGAAGCGGAAUUCACAUCCAAUCAUCUAUUUAGAAAAGAACAUCUAGACUGCAAAUUGAAUAAAGAAAUUAAAAUAGACUGACAUCUUUGAACAAGAUCAAAAGGAAGAAUAAAUUAGCUGAUUUUUGAAAAAAAAAGGGAAAAGAAAAAGAAAAGGCCUACAUCUUAAUACCAUUUUUAACAGAAGUACGAAUUUAUUUGAAAGUUGGAAAGUUGAACAACUCCUAAAAAUUGAGCAACAAAUUUUACUAAGUAUUAAAAUUGUUGCAUGUCGGUCAACUUAAAAUUCAAUGAAAAUUGACCCAUUCAUCUUCAAAAAAAAAAAAAAAAAGGAAGUUAGAUAAAUACAAGAAAAACAUGUUUCAGAAAAUGAAUUUGGACCAAGUACAAAGGGAAUAAUGCUUACUGUUCCAGGAACUUCGGUAAUUUCUUGUACAUGAUACCAUAAUGUUUCCUUUAGGACAUGAAUAUUAACUUGCUUAGAAGACUUGUCAUGCUGAACCUCAAUUUUUUCUACCUGAAUGUGAAGACCAGAAGAGUGUAAAUUCCGUACACAAUUUGUUCUCUGAAUAACAUUCAAAAACAAUAUCCAGCUACAAUUAGAGAAAUCCACAUGAAUUGAGCAGCAGAAAAAGAGAUAUUCCUUAUAAUAAAAAUAUCUGCAUUUCCAAUAAUUACAUUUUGAUUUUGAAUGCUUUUAGCAGUCUGAGUGGUUAGCCGAACUGCCUCAAUCCGAUCUAGAAAACAUCCAUCACAUUCAUCACUUCUCAAGACAAAGAUUCGUUCUCUUUUUAUAAUUUCCAAAACUUUCACCAACAAAUUUCAUUUCUCAUUAAAACUUUUGUAGAACAAUUUACCAUUCUAGCUCCUAUAAUGCACAUUGGAACACCUAUUGACUUAACCCGGAAGGGCAGCAGCAUUGACUUGAUUUGAGAAAAUGUUGAAUAAUUACAAACCUGACGGGGCUGAGAUACAAGUCCAUCCAAGUCUCCCAAAUCAUUAGGAUCAUAUCGAUCAUCAUAUUGACCACUAACCACGCUCUCGUUAUCCCACGAUGGUAAAGUUCUGGCAUAAUCACAGUUUUGUUUUAUUGCAUAAUUAUCUGGAAAAGAAUAGGAAAAUAAAUACACUAAAACUGAUAUACUCUCUCACCACCUUCACUAUCAGCUACUUCUUAUGAUGCCAUCAUCAUUGUCGUGAGCAAGAGACAGUUAUACAAUUAAAAAAAAGAAAUUUAACUGGUUUUCACCAAAAGAAAAAGUGAUAGUCAGCAAUAUAGAACAAACGUCAUCAAGACCUUUGUUUGUCCUGCUACAUAUCAGCCCCUCAAUUUUUAUUUCUUUAGUCUACAUCAUUUGCCUAUGGCAUAAAAAAAUGUGUUUGUUUCUUUCAUUUCAUCACUAAAACAUUUGACUAUCCUACUCCUAACAUGAUUUGACUCGUAGGCCGUGUCACUGUUACCUCACAUUUUCACACCCUGUAAGUCAUAACUUGAGAAUUUAUUUGUAUCCAAUAUAAUCUGAUGUCUGCAAAAUAGCCGAAUCAACUUUCCCAAUAUCAUAAAUCAAGCACUAAAAAUAAAUAAAUGUCAAAGAGAAAGAGCCCCGACCUGAAAGUUUUCUCCUCCACUUCCCCAUACACUACAAUCAAUAUAGGAAUUGAUCAGAAACCACUACAAUCAUUGAAAAUACUAAAAAGAAUUUUCCAAAAAAAGGUAAAAACAUAAAAGUUGCCCACUGUCUGCACAAGGAUGGCAGCAAGAAAAAGUUGUAGCAAGUCAAUUCGGGUACAAAUGCUAACACAUACACUCCAAGCACCAAAGUUUGGGUGUGCACAGGCCACUUGGUAAUUUUUGCACAAAAUUACAAUUGAAUUGAUUCAUUAGACGAACAAUAAAAAGCUUAAGUGAGCAUACUCUUUCUAGGCUAACCAAAUAUCAAAACCAAUUUUUCCACGAGCCACCCCACACUAUUGUAUUGCGAGCAAUCAUGCAAUAAAUAAUUGCUGCAAAUAAAUAUGUAUUACCAGUACAUUAGGAAGAAGAAACAACUUGACAAGAUUCUCUGGUUGAUAAUGACAAUCUUCUGGAAGGACGUUGCUACAUGAGGGUCUAUUUGAUGGUCGAAGAAGAGACUUGGGAUUUCUCGGGGGAGCAAAAAUAUCAAGCAUUUCUUCAUCUAAAGAUUUUGUGAAAUCAAUGUCAACUUCUGCCUGGAAUUUCUUCUUCUGUUUCUUGGGAUUGAAUGCCGAUCCACUUUCUGAAGGAGAAGCAUUCUCUGAAACAACAGAAAAAGUACCAAAUUAAACAGUAAACUAAUAAAUAACAAGGACAGAUUGCAUAUAUCAGUAAUUUCAGUAUUAUUCACUUCCUGCUAAUACCUACCCUUAGACUUCUGAUACUUCCAAUGAUCUGGACCUGCCCAGGCAUUCUGUUUUGAAGUGAACCCCAGCCCUUGGAACAGAAACAUAGUAACAUCCUCAAAUCUAUCAUUUAUACCAAGUUCAUCUGCACCACAGGGGUCAUUCUCCUACACAAAACAAAUCACAACUCUAUUUAAGAGCACUACAUAUCUCCUCUUUGCAUUUCACAAGAAAUGAAAGAGAAAAUUUUAAAAGUAAAAGAAACGUGUAAUCUAUUGGUGAAGAGUAUGCAGGAAUUCUCACUAAAAAUGUAACAAAUUCCUCAUGAUCACCAGGAAAAGUAGGAUGAAAACUGGAGCUCUCAUUAACAACAGAUGUCCCCCCAUCAUGAUCAUAUCCCCAUGCUUUAUAGUUCCCAAAAGAACUAUCAUCCAAUCCAUCUUCAUUACCAAAAAAUGUUUCUUCCUUGGUGUGACUUGCAUUUGCACAACCACCCAACCCAUCUAACCUAAAAUCAAUAUUCUCGCCAAGACUGAAUAUUUGUGACCUUUGAUUAUCUUCAUCAAAUUGGCAGAUGAUCGCCCUGAGAGUUGGCGAAAUUUCAGUCUUUGCAUGCAUGUCACUCACUAUCUUCCCAAUUAAUUCUGUACAGCCCAUAUAAAUGGAUAUAGUUAAAAAAAAAAAAAAACAACAAACAAAAAUUAAAGCAUGCAAACUAAAGCUUUGUGGCUAGCAAAGUCACAUGCCUGUGGCAAAUGAGAUAUCAAUCAUAUCUGAAGAAUUGUUUUGGAGUGAGUAUGACUCACACCUCCCUGGCACUUCUAAAGAAUCAAAAAGUACCCUGCAUCCUCCAUAUACUCCAAGAUUAUUCAGUAGGAGACCUCUGGCCCCACCUUCAUCAAACUGUGCAGAUGUCUGAUGAUAUAGAGGAUCCGCCGCAAAUGCAACUGGAAACAGGAUCACGAAUUGAAAACUGGAAGGGGAAGGAAACCUUUUACUUGAAAGGAUAAUCUAAGGCUCACCUACCAUCAAACUUCUUUACAUUAAAAGUUUCAAAAGAAGACUCCAGUGUUGACAGUGGUGAAAUCUUCAAAAAGCACUUAAAUGAGUUAAAAUUCUAAUUUGUUAAAUCAUUUAAUAGACAGAAAAAAUAAUAAUAGUAAAUAAAUAAAUGUGAACCUUUCUCUCAAAGUCUCUCUUUGGAUGAAUCGCAUCUGUCCUGUUGUCAACAUUUUCACCUGCUGUGAUGGUCUCUGUCAACAAAGAACUAUGUUAGCGAUUCAACCAAAGCGUAAAUCCCUCAGGGAAGCAAAAUGCAGCAAAGUUGAAAAGAGCAAAUCCGACAUUAAUACCUAAAUAUGACAACUCAAACAUGCAGUUGAUUGAAAAGUAGCAUUUUAAGCAUUAAAGUACAAAAAUGCACAAGCUUCUUUGAUGGUCUGUCAUUUCGGGGAAAUGUAAAUUCAUAGUAUCCUCUUGCAAAGAACCCCAACUUAUAUCCAGUUUUAUUAGAUUGUUACCUCGAUCGUCCUCUUGACCAGCCCGAGUGAUUCCACCAAGGACCUUAUACGCUUGGGCAUGCACUGCAUCAACCCUCACAGAGUAAAUUUUCACCCCUGCCUCCAACGUACAACUUGCCUAUCCGUUUAAAGAGUCAUUAAUACCCAAAACAAACACAAAACACACGUCUCCACGAAUUAAUUUUUCAUAAAAUUGGUCCAAACCUUUUGGAAAUUAGUCUCUGCAUCUCCAACUGUUUCAACUUUAAUGAUCUCACUAAGGUGGUCUAUCAGCUUCAGCUCCCAAGUGUUGUUCUGGUUUAUUUUCUACAUUAUAAAAAAUGUACGUAUAUCAAUCCAAAAUGGACUAUAACCUGGUGACUAGUUCACACAACUAAGUGAAAGAAACAGUAUAGAAAACGAAAAGGAAACACUUCUGCUUUCAAAUUUGAGAACCUGAACUCAUUUGUCAUCUGGGAUUCUUAAAAUGUUUAAAUUUUUAGAAUCCAAUAUUUCAAUAUCUUUUUAAUUUCGUUUCAAAGCUUUCAAUUAGCAACAAAUUAACAAUUACGUGGAGUCUAAGUAACAAAUUAGCAGGGUAUUGACUCUUUUUUUAUUAAUAAAGGAAAAUUAAAAAAAUAUAAAAGUUUUGUUUAAGGAACAUGACACGUGGCGCACUGACAUUUUCACUAGCAAGCUUGAUGCAGUUUUGUAACAACUCAACGAUUUGCUCUUCGCUGAGGCAAGGGUCUUCAGGAAGUGGGGAGGACGAGGUGGAGGUGGCCUUGCGGCGGCGGAUGGCGGAGGCGCGUGCCGCACGCGCCUGCUCACGCUCGAGUUGGUCGUUGUUGGAGCCUAAGAAGAAUUGCCUUUGCCUUGUUGGAGAAUGGAGUCGGUUCGACAUCGUGCCCCUUUGUCUCGGGCUCAACGCCUCCGACAUUUUAAGGACAAAGAAAACUAGAAAUUUGAAAAUGGAGGGAGUUAAACAAGCGUAGCGUACGUCGAAAGAAAAGUGCGCUAAGGCGUGUUUGGGAGUUGAACAACAAGCGUAAGUUGUACUAAGGGCGUGUUUGGUUGUCUACUGUAAUAUCAGAACGCCAUAAAAUGAUACCUUUCAAAUGACACCUCGUAAAGUAAUAUACGUCUACGAGGCCAAUCAUGUGUGUAUUUAGCCAUACGCCUACACGUCAUUAACUAAUGCUCAAAAAUUGGUCAAAGAGUAAGGAUCUGAAGUCAAUUUUUUUAAUUUACUUAUUUAUUUUUUUGAAACUUAUGUUGGAAUAGUAACAAUUUAGGGAUAUAUUUGAAAUUAAUAAAGAACUAUAUAUUAUGUAGUUUUUAAAAUUACUAUGGGUUUUUAUAGGGAAAAUGACAAACACACCCCUAACGUUUAGGUAAAGGGAUAAAAACUUCCCUAAUGUUUUAAAAAAGAUAUUUAUACCCCAAUUUAUUAUAAUUUUACCAUUAUACCCUUCUAGCAUAUAAAAAAUAUAUUAGAUUAUCCAAUUUAUCUAUAUAUUGUUAAUAAAAUUAUAAAUAGACAAAUUUGAUAUUAUAAAAAAAUUAUAAAUAUACCCUCAUUGCUCAAGGCCUCUAUUUAAAUUUUUAUCAAUAACAAAUUUUCAAAAAAGGCAUCUAUACACCUAAAAAAAUUGUAAAUAAAACUAGUUAUUAAUAGCCAAUUUUAUUUAAACUUUAAAUUUGUAUAUUUAACAAAUCUCCACAUGUCAAUCAUUUACACUUGUACAUUUAUAAUCAAUUUUCUAUAUUAUUUAUUAUGGCACGGCACGGCACGCACGUGGGCCGUGCCGGGCUUAGAAUUUUAGGCCGUGCCGGACAAAUUAUUAGAAUAUAAAUUUCUAGAAUAAAAAUUUAAAUAGAGGAAUGAGGUAAUGAUGGUAUAUUUAUAAUUUUAUUAACAAUAUAUAGACAAAUUGGAUAAUCUAAUAAUUUUUUUUAUAUUCUAGAAGGGUAUAAUGGUAAAAUUAUAAUAAAUUGGGGUGUAAAUGUCUUUUUUGAAACAUUAGAGGUGUAUUUGUCAUUUCAUGUUUUUAUAUUCAUGUCAAUAUACGGAAACAUGUAGAGAUGUACAAAAAUAUAAAACUCUCAUUAUAAGUGGAAAUGUUCAUCAGAAUUCAUUAGAGUCGUGUUUGAUAUUAAGGUUGGAUAGUUGUAAUUUAAAGAUCACAAUUAAAGAUGGCCAAUGGGCAGGGCGGCACGUGGCACGGCACGGGCACGGCACGUGUCCGUAUGGCACGGCACGACACGAGCACGUUUCGGUGAGGCACGAGGCACGAGGCACGGCACGGCACGCACGUGGGCCGUGCCGGGCUUAGAAUUUUAGGCACGCGGGCCUUAAAGCACAGCACGAUAAGAGAUGGGCCAAAGCACGGCACGCGAAAAAGCACGUAAUAAGCACGGUUCAUUAGUGGGCUAGCACGCGGCCCGUGAGCCAUUAAUAGCACGUGGGCCAAAAUAUAUCUAAGUAAAUUUUUUUAACAAAAAGUAAAUAUAAAAUGUUAUGAAAUUAAAGUACAAUAUCUUGAAAUUAAAUGUUUUAAUAUAUUUUUUAGCAUAAACUUUUAAAAAUUAAUUUAAAUCAUUAAAUCUUAGUUUAAAUAAAUAUUCUAAUCUUUUAUGUUUAUAAUUUAUUAAAUGAAUAAGUAAAUAUCAUGAUUUUAAUAAAUAAAAUUAUAAAUAUCAUAAUUUUAUUUAUGAUAUUUAUUAAAUGAAUAAUGUUAUUUAAUUUUAUUUAUGAUAUUUAUUUAAUUAUUUAUUUACGUUUAUAAUUUAUUAAAUGAAUAAGUAAAUAACUAAAUAUCAUGAUUUUAAUAAAUAAGAUUAUAAAUAUCAUAAAUUUAUAUAUUAUAAAUAAAAAAUAAUUUUUUUUACAAAAUUAAUAAUAAAAUAUUUUUCAUAUUAAUAUUAAAUCAUAACUUAAUUAAUAUUUAAUAGAGAUAUGUUUCAUUUGUGAAUGAAAUAUUUUUCAUUUUAUACACAAGAAAAAUGUUAAUUGCUCUCUUAAUAAAAAUUAAUAUGAUUAUGAUUUUGAAUAUUAUUAUUAUUAUUAUUAUUAUUAUUAUUAUUAUUAUUAUUAUUAUUAUUAUUAUUAUGUUGGUGGGCUUAAAAAAGCACGUCAAGCACGUGGGAUUGAAUAAAGCACGUUAGGCACGUGGGUUUUUUUAAGCACGCAAAAAAAAAAGUUGGUGGGCUUUUUUUGGGCACGGCCCACGGCACAGCACGAGCACGGCACGAGAGGGCUCGUGCCGUGGGCCGUGCCGGGCUCAACUGAAAAAAAUGUGGGCACGGCACGGCACGGCCCAUUGGCCAUAGUUAAUCACAGUAUCGAAGUAUGGAUUAGAAGGUAAAUUAAUUUGUAUCUUUAUUAUUUUUGCCAAAAUUAUUAUUUGAAAAUCAUAUUUACUACACAUGAUUAAUUUUUAUUUUAUAGUUAUAAUUUUCUUUCAGAACUAAUAUAAUUUAAAAGAUACAAUACCUCAAUACUAAAUACGACCUAUAUCAUACUUUUUAUGGUUAUCUUUGAUUAAGCUUCAUUGACUGUUGAUCUCAUAUGUUUAACUAGGCCUUAAAACCAUUACCAAAAAGACUCUUGUAAUUGUUUUUCAAACAUUUAUUUGUUUACUUAUGUGACAAAUAGAAGUGUAAAAAAAUAAGUCCUAAAAACUCUUCAAAUAAAAAUAAGUUUAUAUUUUUUUAAUUAAAUUAUCAAAAUAAUAACAAUUAUAAUAUGUUUCUCCCUUCAGAAAUGAUAAGAUAAAAAAUAAUAAUAUAAUACUAAAUUAAAUAUUCUAACAAAUAUUAGAGAGAAAUAAACAUUAUUUCAUUUGAAACAUCUCAUUUGAAUUUUUUUUUUUACUAUUUGUCAUUCCCUUUGGUUAUUAGGAUUGAAGUAGUAAGUGAAGCAAAAUAACUCCACUGUGGUUACUGGUUAAUUAGGUCAACUGGGCUAGCAGUUGUAGCCUUAGGCAAUUACUCCUCGGUUUCUCACAACCACAUCCACUGCCAUGCCUUAAAAACAUAUGACAAUGAAGUAACCUAAUCUUAUCAGCCAGGGUUACUGGUUAACGGUGAUUUGGUUUUGUCCCAAUCAAGCUACCAAUGAAAUUGACGGCAACACAAGCCUAGCUAUAAUGAUAUUUGAGGAACUUCAAUUACAUGAUGAAAAAAUUUCUACUAGAGCGAGCUCUAUUUAGGUCUUUAUUUAUGAACUUAAUUAAUUAAGUGUUUAGUUUCAGACUUUUGGCAAUAACUUCAAUGUUGUGAUCAGUAGAGGGUACACACACACACACACACACACACACACACACACACACACACACACUCAUGCAUACAUAGAUCAAACAUAAAAUAUUAAAAGCUUUAUUUUUUGUUCAAUUAAUAAUGUUUGGAACAAAGACAAAUAAAACAUUUGAUGAUAAUAAUACGAAGAAGCAAAAGGUGAUAACAAAUAAUACAACUUAAACAAUAAUUAAUUUAUUUACUAAACAUUAGAACACUUAAUAUAUAGCUUAAUUAAUUAUAUAUUAAUUAUAUAAGGUCUUCAAGGCAAUCCACCUCCAAGCCCACCACUGGUUGCACCAGCACCAAAUCCAACUCCAUUAUUGCCACUGAACCCAAAACCAGCCCCAGCACCAGCUCCAACACCAGCUCUAUACUUGUUACUGAAUCCAGCACCAAUACCAAUCUUUUGUAGCCCAUGUCCAGCUCCACCACCACCACCAAGGCCACCUCUAGUGGGGUUAAGAUGGUGAAUGAAGCACUUGUGAUCAUCAAAAAUCAAAACAAACAUUUUCAUUCACAAGCUUCCAAGCAUCCGUGGAGCAUAAUAAGAGAACAUAAAAAGAGUACAAUAAGUGCAUUAUUAAAAGAUACCAUGUUCAAUUAUAAUGCAAUAGCUAGCUUUAAUAAUUAACUUGAAAGAUGACUUUGAUGACAAGUGGGAGCACAAGGCAGUAGUUAUGUGUGCAUUUUGUGUUGAGAAACCAACCCAGCAGUAGUUAAAUUUAACUAUAUACACGUCAUUUGACCAUUAAUUGAAUGCAUCACCUCCCAUUUAGCAAAGAUUUUCUCCUAGUCAUGCCAUGCAAAAGUAAAUUUUCACAUUCGUUUAUAUACACGAUUCCUUUUGGAUUUGGAAUUUUUCUUUAUCUUUUUAUUUAUUUAUUUUUACUUUCACGGAAUUAGCUAUAGCUUGCUUUAUUGAAACACCUUCUUACAGUAAUCUAAAAUUGAAUGGAUUUGGGUGCUUCUUUUAGCGUCAAAAUCCACAUGACCAAUGAUGAACAAAGUCAUGAUUAAAAUUUAUGUCUUUCAAUUAAUUUUGAGGAUAAAUUAAAGGUUUCGGCUACCUUGGAACGCCUCCAAGGUGGAUCCCAGCAAUAUGAGUCGUCCGAUUGCAGUCAUAUUAAUUAAUCGUCAAGAUGAAAUGCAUUUAUAACGCAUUGAAUGUACUGGAUUAUGAGUUACCGGUAGAGGGGGUGAUCAAAACCAAAUACUCUAGUGAUACAUCAAUUGAACAAAUAGCCAAUACAGAUGUAAAACAUGUAUAAUCAAUAACAUGUGAUACUUCGGGUGGGGUAAUCCCAUUUAAAAAGAAGAAGGAAAAAAAAAGCCCUAAAUUCCAUUAUGUCAUAGUUUACAACUCUCAGUGUUGGCAUAUUUAUUUUGAAAGUCGACGAUGAGCGUUUAUGGACUUGUGUUAGGUUAGACUGUCGAUAAAGAGAGCUGCCGACGGAUUUUAAGAACAAGAGACCAUGGAUAGUUUCAAAAGAAUGCAUACAUUUGUGAUAACGAAAUGGUGCAGAGUUUGAAUAAUAAUUUAUGUCGUUGAUUUAUAGUUAACAACCUUAAGUUCUAUUCAUCGUGUACUGUAGGUAUGAUUUGGUUAAUAUGCGGGUGUCUUUUAUUAUUGUUGAUUUCAUAUUUAUGGUUAUUGUUGUUGUUCUGGUGCGCCGAAUGUUAAUAAUUAAUAUUUGUCAAACGGGUGUCAUGAAUGAUGUUGCUAUAAAUGUUCUUGUGGAUUUGAAGAUUGAUUGAAUAAUUAAAAACACCAACUUGUGACCACGAGGGGGUGUGAUGUUAUGAGUGUGGGCAUUGAUUAAUUUUGAAAUGACAAUAUGAAAUCAUAGGCGAAUUAUUAAUGAGUAAGUGGUUAAAGUCGAACUAUGAGUACUCAAUGUAAAAGUCCAAGAUGAUUCGAAAGUGGUAUAUGGAUAAACUGACAUAAGAAAAUGUUUGUGUGUGUGUGUGUGUUUCUGAACACCUUAUAACCAUGACUACGAAACAAAUAAUUAGAAUCCUAAAUGACAAUUGAAGAAUGAGAAGAGUCGCAGCUGGAAACAUUUCGUAGUUUAUUGCACUGUAUACAUAGUUGUAUUAGAUUCAGAUAGUGAAAAAAUUGGAGGGAAAAAGUGAGAACCUAUUAUUUAAAAUGUAAUUUUUUUCGUUUGUUUUUUUUAAAAAGGCUUAAUUUCAGCAUUUUGGUUUCACAAGUACUUAGGCAAACUAUCGGCGUGUUAACACUUGGCAAGGUAGACUAGACCUUUAUUAAUUAACGGAGCAAAGGUGAUGUUUAACGCAUGCAGCAGUUAUCCUGCAAUGGAAGAGGACAGCUCGAGAGAUAUGAUAAGUGGUUUGCCAGAUUCUGUUAUGUGCCACAUGCUUAGUUUUCUCCCCAUAAAAUAUGUCGUGGCCACAUCCAUUUUAUCUCGAAAAUAUAAGCAUAUUUGGAGAGGUAUUUAUAUUAUAUGCUUCGAUGAUGGGCUAGGUGGUAUGGACAAUGAUGUUUCAAGCGUUAGAGUAAGUGCUUCUGAGGACUUCGUUCACUAAGUGGUUGUUCGACCUUAGCCGACAAACAUUGUCAAGUUCUUUCUCCGGCGUGCGAAAUUACCUGAUUUGUUUAGAUUUUCAUUUUGGGUGUCCUCUGAAGUAAGUCGUAACGUUCAGGAGAUGAAACUUAAUCUUAAGAACCAAGAACAUUUUGUAUUACCCGCUAGUUUGUACAGUUUAUGGAUACUCAAAAUUCUUUAAGUUCAUUCAGAUUGUGCCCUCUCAGUUCUUCCACGUGGUCUAUGCUUUCCCAGUGUGAAGAUUCUUUAGUUAUUGCUGCGGCAACCUUCGAACGAGCUGAUUGAGAAUUUGUUUUCCCGAUACCUUUAUUUUGAACAGUUGUCCUUAAUUGUUUAUCUCAGAUCAGAAGAUCCAUCCUCAAAUCUCAUCAUUUUGUCGACAACUCUGAAUAUGUUAGUGUUGGUGAUAACUAAAUGCGGUCAUGCAGCUGGGCCUAAUGAGCACAAUGUCACAAUCAAGGCUCUAAGCCUGGAAUUCAUUGAUACCAUUGAUGAGAUACUUGUGUUGUAUGCCGUCGAUGAACUUCAAUCUAUAAAGAAAUCAGUCAUAAAAAGUGUCACAUCUGCUAUGGUCAACUAUUGAUCCGACACAUACUGUAGAGUUGGUCACGGGCGUAAGUCACACCAGAUUUCUACAACUAUCUGCUAGCGUGAUUGAAAUAAGUUGUGUCAACUAUACUGUCUGGUUUAGAUUACCAUCAUGUUGUCAUCUUCCAUGCAUGCAAUCUAGCAUGGACACUAUUGUUGUCCCUAGCCAUGACCAUGGUUUCCAAUAGUUGAUGUUACUGCAUUAAUGCACAUUUCUUUUUAGCUUUAUUACUAUUUAUUAAACUUAACUUGUUUGCCUUUUUUUUCCUUUUUUUCCCACUCUUGCGCAGGCUCUAGCGCUUGCCAAUGUUGAUUUAGUUUCUUCAUUUUCGACCCUGACUUUUUUGCAUGUGACGAUUGGUGAAUGGGGAUAGAUCAUGCUUUAUAUUAUGCUGAGUAGAUCGGUAAACAUUAAGACUUUUGUGUUACAAAUGGUGAUGAUUAAUAAUUAUGUGCGUGCAAUUGCUUAUUGCUUAUAGUUAUUUAUGAGUCAAUUUAUAUUAUUAACGUAGGCAUGUUGAUGCGGGUUGUUCGACGAGGAAAUCUGAUGGAUAGAAUCAGCCACUGUUCCUCACUGCCUAACUGACCAUGUGAACACAUUGGUUAUCAAGGAACUCGGCGAUGGGAACAAUUACAUCUGCCUAGUGGAAUACUUGUUGAAUAAUUGUAAAGUCUUACAAAUGAUGACCAUACGCUGCAGAGCCAGUGUUCACGGGGAAAGGUUAUGAAUUCUCAAUCGAAAGCUAUUGGCGUUGCACAGAGGGUGUGCUAGUGCUAAGAUAAAACUUGAUAAAUGAGCUGAGGGAUUUAAGUCUCAUCGUUGUUUUAGUAAAUAAUAUAAGACUUUGAUGGAAAACAUUUUGACUGUUAGCAACUUAACAUAUCAUUUAUAGUUGGUGUGUGGAACAUUCAUUAGUAGCACAUGAAUUUAGUAAACAAUUCCUCUCAUUGGCUGAAGAUAUUAAACAAGAUAUGAAUAUUUGCAGUUCUAUUUGUUAAUGUUCACGGGGGAUGCAUUCAUAGUCUUUUAUAAGAUUCAUAUACCUAACGUCAACGACCACGACUUUAUUGAUUGAGCAACAAAAAAAUUUCACCAUAAAAAAGUCAAUUGACCAUAAAAAUAUCAUUAGUGAAUAUGAAGGUAAAAGAGCAAGAACCAAUUAAAAUAUAAGACCAUCAAGAUUUUGUUCAUGAGAUUUAUCGUUGCAAUUUAUAAUAACAUUGUAAGAAUUUGUAUGAAAACGUGGAAAAUUUGAGCUAUAUUUAAUAUUUUUGGGUUUUUUAAUAGUAAUGAUGAUGUUAUAUUUCAUUGCUUGAUGUUCCCAUAUAAAUUUUUCUAGAAUGAUAAGUUAAAUUUAUCAACAAUUAGAUGCUACCAUGUCAAUCAGUAACCAUAAGAAAAAUGAAGUUUUACAUAUAAUAGAGGAGAUUAACCGAGUUACAAAAGCAAAUAAGUUAGGCAAAACAACGCCAAUGAAACAUGCGACAUUAACAUAAUGACAAUAUCCAAUGACUCAGAAAUGCAGCAUAUCUUAUUACCAACUCAACACUCGUACAUGAGAAUAGCAAACACACUUAGUGUGUAGGACUCAUAAUCCAAAUGUGAAAUCUAAGAGAUUAUAUGUCAAACUUGAGUACUUUGCGGCAUAGUAUUUUCAAUCCAUCGUCUCGAACACUUUCAUGGCACCGGAAGUUGAAAUUGUCCAACACUUAACUAUGCCACAUGAAGUACUCCACCAGUUAUAGGUCACUUUUUCCAUUAGUAAAUGCCUCCAUCUUUAUUUUAGUAACGUGUUGAGUCAAGCAAGGGAGCAUAUUCUCUGUCUUCAGCCAGCCAAGUUCAUGGUCACUGAACUCGAACCAAUCUUCCUGAUUAGUGAAAUAGUAAAAUAUAUCACUAACAACUCUAAUCCAUUAUUAGAUGACAAAAAAUAAUUGUUGUAUUCCUCACCUUUGUUAAUAUAAAGGUAUGUAAGUGGGACAAAAUAAUGAGGAUGGUAUGGAGACAUUUCCAGCCGCAUCAUCCAACCGCAGCAAAAAAAAAAAAUGAGAUUGUCAAACAGAACCAGCGAACGGUUUGCGCAUGCCCGCUCAAGUGCUUGCGGUUGAAAUAAUUAUUACAUAAACAACAACAAUUACAUUCGUGUUGAUAUUCACCACAUGUUGUAAGAACUAACUAUGAUUAGUUGAGUAAGAAAUUUUUAAAAACACAUUGUGUUUAUUAAUUUUACAACAUUGUCCUUCAUGGCUAACAAUAUAUAAAGUUCAGUAGAAAUAAUAAAAGUGUUGCAUAUCAACAAUAAAAUCUCUUGUGGAUAAUAUUUAGCAUUCUGGUAUACUAUGAGAAAGCUUACCAGAACAACACCAGAGAAGAGGAUCAUAUGAGGUGUUUUUGCAACACCCUCGAUAAGGUUGCUAACAUGUUGUAAAUCAACUGUAGAUGAUUCCAGAUAUGAAACAUCUAAAUGUGCUUGUUGUAUGAUUGCAUCACAUGUACCUUAUAUUCCAUCAACAUAUGAUCAACAAUACGGAGAUGUUGGAGAUUUAACGCCCUAAUGACAACACGAUGGUGUAAUGACUUACCGCACAACUGGGCGAAGAAGGCAACAAACGUGAGUGUAUUCAGAGUAGCAGAUCGAAUGAUGAAGUUGGCUAGAGGAUCGUGAGGUAGUAUAAAAACCAUUAUAUUGAGUUCCAUCAAGGAAAGAACUCUGAAAAACAGCUUUUCUUUCACUCGAUUUUCAGGGUAUUGCAUAAAUAUAUAAAGAAUCUUCAGAUGGUGAAAACACACGCCAUCUGAAUGAUCUAAUAAGGCAAAAUUAGAGCAUAGUCGAAGAACUUCAAGUGUCGUUAAACUGCACACACUGGCUGGCAAGUGCAUGCGUCCGUACUCCAGAAGAUCAAUAUCUAUCUCCCGACCAUUACGCAUUAUUGUUUUAGAUACCCAUAAAUCAAACUGAGCCAUAUGUAUAGGGCUCACACACCGAAGAGAAAAUAUUUGUAUCAAUAUUGGGCCAGUUUUAGCAAUCACUGAAUCUACGAACACUUGGAAUGCAGCUAGCCUGACUCCUAGGACGGCAAUAGUCCCUAUGGCAACCUCAUCGUCGAAGCAGAGUGUUGAGUGUUAGAAAAUGUAUAUUUAUAAAGGAGAAAACCGUUAUUUUACAUUUCAAGUCUUAUUAACAACCCUUACUUUUAUGUAUUUAACCUUCUUGUGAUUUAAUUACAUGUGUUUUAUUUUAAUUAAGUAUUUUAUGUAUUUUAGGGGCAUUAUAGUCAUUUCACAAUAAAGGAGAAAUCAGACGGCAAAACGGACAUCACUUUUGAACUUAGGACGGUUGAAAACCUUAGGAGGAGCAUAAAAGGAAAAAUGACACUAUUUAUAUGUACGGUACUACUCACGUGUACGGUACUAUUCACGUGUACGGUACUAUUUACGUUACUGUUCACAACACUGUUCACAUAGACAGAUCGAUGACGUGGCAUUGACCGAUGAUGUGGCAUUGACUGAUGAGGUGUCACGAUCCUGUUGGGCUAAAAUUCUUAUGUACUGUUGAUGGUGACGUGACAGCAUAUCAGUGGAUGAAAAAUCUCGCGUAUGGUACAUGCAUCACACAGGAUUAUUUUCAACCAAACCGCGUUACUGUUCAUCCGAGUCAAACCGUGUUACUGUUCAUCCGCGUGGUUAAACCGCGUACUGUUGACUGAUGACGUGGCGCAAUCCUGAGCGUCCAAAUUAUUUUUAAUCCGAUGGCCAUGAUUUACUCCAUGUAUCUAUAAAAAUAGGGCCUACGCCCCCCUAAUUGGAUAUCUCUGAAUCCAUUUUUGGACUCUGUUUUCUAUAAUUCCCUCUCCAUCUUGUAUUUUCUUCGUAUUUUAAUAAAUUUCCAUUUUACCCCUAGUUCAAUUAUGAUUGGCUAAUUUUCUUUCAAGCUUGGGUUGAAGGUGAAGUUUCAACAUGUGUCAUGGGCUUAAUUUGGUAAAUUUAUCUUCUCUUCCCCUCUAGUUUUUGUGGAUGUUUUGACUUCUCAUCGACAAAUAAUACUAAUCUUGUCUAGUACCGCCUUGGUUUCACCGGCCCUCUAGUACAAGGUUAUUAUUAUUUGGCACGAUAAGCCCUUAGCACCAUAUUGAUUAGAGCGUGGUUCAUGAGGUGUGGAUUUCCCCCUCAUGAUUUAAUUGGCAUUAAUACGGAUUAUUUAGCUCAUGAUGCAUGUUGAUACGUAUCCAGAUACCCAAGUAUGUCAUCUCAAUAGAAUUCUCUUCAAUUUAUUCUUGUCAUUUCAAUUCCAAUUUUAGAAUUUAUUCUCGCCAUUUUAAUUUAAGUUUUAGCAUAUUCCAAAUCAUUUCCACCAUAAAUCCAACAACCCAUUUACAAAAUUAAUUCUAUACACAAUUAAAAUCCACCUUCUCGUGGGAUCGACACUCGUCACCAUUAGUCUAUACUACAAUAGAUUCGUGCGCUUGCGAGUGCAUUAAAAUUUGCACAACACAAAGGUUACGAACUAAGAUCCAAACAGGCUCCAUCUUCGCGAAAGACUGAAGGUGGCCACAACAUCUUCUAUGGGCAGAAAAGUAAAGAUGUUAGAGAAGACAAAAUUAAGCAAAGCAUUGAUCCUGUCUUCGCCUUCAUUGUUGACCACUCUUGCACGUCUAUUUCCUUUGCGCCGAACUGCACCUGUUGAUGUCCUCAUCAUCAACUACUCACCCUGCCAAGUGCGACCAGGGACAUAUUGGAAAUUCAUAAUUUCCAACCUGAAAAUUCAAACCAUUGACAUACACAUAUAGAAGAGAAUUGUAAAUUGUUGUUAAAUUAACUUUCACAGAAAUGAUCAUAGUAUACAUUACUAAAGUUAAUGACAACACAGUAAUCGUUCCUAAUGUGUUAACAAAUAGGUUAUGCAUGAGAAACAUACAUGGAUAUCUACUUGAAUAUCGUACAAUUACAUUAUAUCGAAAAUAUUUCAGGUACAUUAAAUCAGGUGAACAAAAUUCUAGUGCCCUUCUAUGGUCGACUCCUAGGUGAACAAAAUUUUAGUGCCCCUCUAUGUUCGACUCCUUCAAUUGACAUAGUAAAACUUAUAAAACUGUAGGCAUGGCAAUUACCAGAGACAUAUCAAGUGCGAACCUCAUAGGAUAUGAUUGCACGUGACAACUGUAUUCAGACCACAUUAAAUAUUAUCCCCACCACCACCCGUGAAGAAGACAACGUGGACAUUGAAUAAAAUUGUUCCCAUUUUUUUUUCUCUAACCAUAUUGGACAGCAAAUCAAGGAUUUGGACCUCAUGUGACGUCAUCAACAUAUUUACCAACACUAAUAGCAUGGAUAACAUUAAAGUGAAUCGAUGUGAUUCAACAUAUUAGGGUUUGCAACAGCUGAGGUGGAAUUAUAAAUUAUCAAGGGCAAAUUUAAAUUACAGUAAUAAUUAAUAAGCAAAAUCUGAUCAUCUUAUAAAAUUUAAAAAUAUUUUUUUAAAAAAUUCCGUUGUUCCCAAUUUCCAAUUGUUAUCUACUUCAACGGGAUUAUGGACCACUUUCAUAUCCCUCUAGAAAAAUACAUGCAUCACUGACCUAGUUUCAGUUGACUAUGUUUCCAUUUAUGUUUUAAAGUUAUCGAUUGUGAGUACUUAUAUACAAUAUAUAUGCAGAGACUAAAUGGGUUGCAACAAUGACUGCAAUUAAAAUAAUAAUAAUAAUAAUGUCUAAAUAAAAUAAUAAAAUAAUAAAAUUUUAAUAAAAUAAUAAUGACAUUAUUAUUAUCUUAUAUUUAUUAUUAAUUAUUAUUUUUAUUAAUAUUAUCAAUAUUAAAUUUUUUUAUUAUUAAAAUUUAUUAAUUUUACUGUUUUAAUGAAUAUAUUGUCAUUAUUAUUAAGGACUUUUUAGUAAUUUGUAACAAUCUAAUUUAUUCUGAUUCCGAUUCCAAGACAAAGUAAACACAUUAAUGGCAAUCCAACUUAUUCUGAUUCUGAUUCCUACAGUUCAAGUAAACAACUUAUUCUGAUUAUCAUUCUCCAUUCCAAUUCUAGCAUAUUCCUAUUACAGCUGAUUCUGAUUCCAGUUUAGUAAACGCAUCAUUAAAUUAUUGGCUUUUGGUAUCCUUUAGGGUUUCAAAAUAUUUCACAAUUAAAUACUUAAAGCCACUAAUGUUCAGUUAUACACAAUUUGGUUUUUAAGGUUCUAAUAUUUAUAUUAAUAUUUAGAUUUAGCUGUCAAUUAAUAAUUUUAGCUUUUAGAAUUAAUAAAAAUAAAUAAAUAUGGAUAUUUAGGUUUAUAAGCAGAUAUAAGUUUUGUUGUUUAAUAUUCGUACCUUAUCUAUUUAAUUUACAAGUAUAAAUAAUUAUACCCGCAUCCAAUCUUUUUUAUAAAAUAAAUAAAAUAAAAUUCGAUACUCAACCCCGAGAGAACUGCCCUUGCCAGCCCUGUAUCCACCGGAAUUUUUUGCCUUCCCUAGGAAUUAAGUACCGGCUUUGGCUAAAUAGCCAUACACCUUUCCUAAUUAUCAUGUUAUGUCUUCCCAUUUUUGGAUCUUUAAAACUUGUGUAGUAAUAUCAUGUGCACGAAAGUUCCUCAAUCAUUGUCAAUUUGGCUUCUAUUGCAUGUGAUUGAUUCCUUCAUGUCAUGUGUAAAUUCUAAUAAAGGGCCAAAUGUCACUUUGGUGAUAAGAUUGUGUAACUUUUCUAUUAAAUGAGUCGGUGCAAUUUACCAGCUACAUCCAUCCUCCCAUAAAAUUUUUCCUCCCCCGCCUCAAUUUUAUUUUUUCGAGAAUGGUCCACGAAUAAUUGAGUGAAUGUUACCAAUUCGGUUUUUCAACUUGAUUUAUAACUAAGUGUAUAAUGGCACUAUUAUGUAGUGGGAUUAUUGAAAGGGAGAGUUUAAUAAUCUCAAUGUCUUAGUUUAGAAAAUACAUCCUUUCCAAAUAUUUUCAUGAAUUGUCUAGAAGUUUCAACUUUGUACUAUACUCAAAGUAAAAUGCCGUUAACGCCAUAAAAUUAAGUGGGCAAAUAUAAGUUAAGAGAAAAUUAAAAGAUGAAACAUCAAUAAUAAGUUCAAAACAAUGCGUAACAAUGAAAGAAUAUAAUAUGUGGCCAAGAAAUUGGGAUUCGAAACUCACUAGCGUAGAUCAAAAGAAAAUUUAGUUAUUAUUAUAUUAGUUAUAACAAAAUAUAUACUCAAACAUUACAUAUUUAGUUUAGAUAUUUCUACAGUGUGCAUGCUUGUAUGUAUUUCUGCUUUGUUCAGGAAACUUACCGUUAGGGGAUUGAAUUGGUGGUUCUUCGAUUACUUUCUUUAACUUCCCACACUUAUGUCAAAAUCUUAAAGAAGGUAGAUAUAGUGAGAAUUUAUUUUCAUUUUAACAAAUUGAAAAUGCCAUUAAUAGACAAAAAAACAUAACUUUCAAUAUACUAAAAUUUAUAUAUAUAUUUUUUAGUUUUAAUAUGCAUCCUUAUUUUGUUAAAGUGAUAAUGAUCUUAUUAGAAAAUGACUAUAUAUUUAGGAAUAUUAUCAUUUGUCCACCUAAAUUUAUAUAUAUAUAUAUAUAUAUAUAUAUAUAUAUAUAUAUAUAUAUAUAUAUAUAUAUAUAUAUAUAUAUAUAUAUAUUCAAGUUAGUAUUAACGUUUAGUGAAAAAUGCAUUUUUCUGACAUAUCAAUUUAGCAAUGAGAUAUUAUGAAACCCACAUUUUACCACUUUUUUUUUUUUUUGAAGUCUGUUAUACACAGAUAUUACUGACAUUACAUCAGACAUUACAAUUAAUAUUUACAAUCAUACUAUAUAACUGGGACCACCAUCAUACAUUGACACACUGAAGUAUAUGCCCAGAUAUUUUAAACCCUCUCUAAUAUUCGAGGGGUGCCUGCUCCACUCACAUUUCGUAAGGGAGAGACUGUCUCCACUCAAUUAAUUAAUAAUUGAGGAAGAACUGAAACUAACCUCCAUAAUGCUCUUAUGGAGGCUCGAACCCUUACACUCAACAUUAUAAGUGCAAGGCUUCUCCCAUUGGACCAAAGGCCCAUUGGUCACAUUUUACCACUUAAUAUUUAAACUUUUAUCAUUUUACUACCUAAUGUUUUAAGUUGUUAUUACUUUAUCACUUCCAGUGCACAAACAAUUUGUUGGAAAAAGUUUAAAUAUUCACUUAAAAAAAUUGUAAAUUCUCGGGUGCACAAGUGGAAAAAAGAAAUUCUUUCUAAUAUUCACAAAUAGAUUUGCUUUGUUAAUAAUUGUUAUGAGCCCAUCAAUUGAUCUAUUAUUCAAAAACAAUUAAUGUAAAAUCAAGUUGCCCAAAAAGCAAACAUAUAUUAAAAAAUAAAAAAAAUGAAAAAUAUAAGUUCACUUUUGAACGGUCCCAUAAUAUCAUACUAAAGAUGGCCAAUGGGGUCUGUGACACGUGUCUGUAUAUUACGGUACGAUAUGAGCACGUUUUGGUAGGGCACGCGGCAUGGCACGUGAGUCGUAUCGGACUUAGAAUUUUAGGCGCAAGGGUCUUAAAAGUAUGGUACGAUUAGAGAUGAGUUAAAGCACGGCACGCGAAAUGGCACGUAAUAAGCACGCUUUAUUGGUGGGCUAACACGCGGCCCGUGGUCCAUUAAUAGCACGUGGGCCAAAGUAUAUCAAAGUAAAAAAAAAUUAAUGAAAAGUCUACAUAAAAUGUUAUGAUUUUACAAAUAUCUUAAAAUUAAAAUUUUUAAUAUAUUUUUUUAACAUAGGCUUUUAAAAAUUAAUUUAAGUCCUAGUUUAAAUAAAUAUUAUAAUUUUUUAUGUUUACAAUUUAUUAAAUGAAUAAAUAAAUAUCAUGAUUUCAAUAAAUAAAAUUAUAAAUAUCAUGAUUUUAUAAAUGAUAAAUAAAAAUUUUUACGACAUUAAUAUUUUAUUUAUAAAAUCAUAACUUAAUUAAUAGUUAAUGGAGAUAUGUUUCAUUUGUGAAUGAAAUGCUUUUCAUAUUUAUGCACAAAAAAAUAAAAUUAGGAACGAAAUAUUUUUAUGAUAAAUUAAAAAUUACAUUUUCAUUCAACGGAGUUCAAGUGCAAUUAUAAUAUUAAUAAUUCAAAUAAAAUUAUGUGUAAUUGUUAUUUUAAGAUUGUAAUUUUAUUUUUCAUGAAUCAUUACUAUGAUUUAUGGAAUUAUUGUUGUUAUUAUUAUUAUUAGGUUGAUAGACUUAAAAAGGUACGCCAAACUUAUGAAUUUUUUUAGAUACACUGGAUAUAUGGAUUUAAAAGAAAAAAAAAAUUGAUAGGUCUUUUUUAGGCACGACACGAGCGGGCUCAUGUUGUGGAUCGUGUCGGGCCCUUAUAAAAAAAACUAAGUGGUAGGCCAUGUUGUGCUGCCCCACAGACCCUAUUGAGCCGACACUUGACGGCACGGCACUAUCUUGGCCAUCACUAUAUCAAACUAACAACGGCAUCAAAUAAAUAUCAAAAUUAAUUUAAAAAAAAAAAGGAAAAAAGAUCAAAACAAAUAUUAACCACUUGAAUAGAAUCUGAACCACACAUUAUAAAAAGGGCCAGUGAGAUUGAGAUUUAAGCAAAUAAUUCUCAAAAGAUUAACAGAGAAUGAUCCAGCCUUAGAUCCUGAAUCUACAUUUUCUCUUCCAAUUUUGUAUGCUUCCCUGCAGUUUUCAAUUUUCCACCUAAUUAGAAAAAAAAAACACUUUCAGAAAAAAAAAAAAAAAAAGACGAAGAAGAAGAAUCACUUUCGUUCAAUUAUUUUAAAAUUUUUUAUUUAACAACCCACGUGUUCAUUUGCAGAAUUAAAAAGUUGAAGGAAAAAAAAGUCAGGAAAAUGAAAGAAAAAGAAAUGAUUGAUGCAGGUGGUCCCCAUGAGGGUAACAGUGUAGUUCACAAAUCACGGGAAAGAAAGUGUUCCGUUUUUCACAUGGGGACGUGGCCCAACAACUCAUCAGUGAUAUUUAUGGCUGUUUCUUCCUUAAGAAAUUUCCCGUGCUUUGGAUUGACGUGUCCAAAUUUGGGGCUUUGUGCCCACAUGAAAAUACAAGGAAAAUUCAGCCAUGCGAGGGUACGACCUAUGAAACGAACUAACGAAUUGAGUUUUUUUCUUUUUGUUUUUUUUGCCCCUCCCACUCUCAAUAGUCAAUACCAAACGAAUUGAGUUCUAAAUACAGAGACUGUGGAGUGUGGAAAAGGGAGAAAAAAAAAAAAAAGCAUAUUCUCAUAAAUAAAGCAAAUAUUUUACAAAAUGAAAGCACUUAUUGCGUCGGAACUUACAUGUUACACAUAACAUGUUUUAAUUUACUUAAUUAAUAUGUUUCUUGCUAAUAUUACACAACAAAUUUACUGAAAUUACACUUAAUAAUCUAAAUUAUAGAUUUUUUAGUAUCAGACAACAAAUUUACUAAUAAUACAAUCGAAAAUUUAGACAUAAAUAAAAAUCAAUACAAAGACCCAAAAAUCGGCCCCAAUCAAGGAGGAAUGUAAAUAUAUUGGCGAACAGCAUAAAAAUUUAUUCAUUUUUCACUUCCUUUUUUUUUAUAAAACACUAAACAUGAAGAUCCAAACGGAAUUUUUGUCUUUCCAGUUUCCAAAAAGCGCGUGGAGAGACCGUAGGCCUUAAACCUUUCCCAACUAAUGGGGAUUAGAGAAUCGUUAAGAAGGAUUCAGUGGUAUGAGGAGUCUCUAACCCAUGCGCACGCGCCAAGAAGUCACUCUCCCCCACGCCCCACUCUCCCAAUAAUUGUCCUUCUACACCAACAACAAAAACCUCACGGCACGUCCUGAGCCACAUCGUCCCUCCUUGGCCUCUCCUUCACUCGCCCCUUAUCCCUCCUGCUAUAUAAUAAACCAAACCCCAGGCUUCUGAUUCAUCUUCAAUUUGCCCACGAAGAAUUAGUUCUCGCUGCCCUUCAACUUCCAUUGAAAGAUUUUAAGUUCUGAAACUGGGUUUGGUUGGUUUGUUCGUUUGUUUGACGUUUUUAGUUGUUGCUUAGGUGGGGGGGUAAAACCCGGGCAAGCAAGUUGUAGACAUCACGGCUAUACACAGAGUAACGCGGCUUCAAACUCAUGUCCGAACUGUACGACGCAAGGGUUGUGUGAUUGAGAGCAACCCUUCGCCGCACGGCGGGCGUGGCGCUCUGCCUUCCGAAGGCGGCAGCCCUUCUGAUCUCCUCUUUCUUGCCGGCGGCGGUCUCGCUUUUUCUUCUUUUUCUUUGUAUUAUUAGCCUAGCUCCGUAGAUUAUACAUACGUAAGUUUAAACAAGUAUUUUAGAAUUAAGCUAUUGCAAGCAUUAAUUAGAUCUCAAGAGAAAAAAAAAGAAAAAGAAAAAAGAAAAAGCCUUCGUUGUUCUUGUUCUUUGUUUCUUUUGUUUUUUUUUUUGGGAAAUUUCAUGAUGUUGAGGAUCAAGAGGGUGCCGACGGUUGUUUCGAAUUAUCAGAAAGAGGAGACGGAGGAGGCUGCUGCUGCUGCUCGUCGUGUAAGCGGGUGCGGGAGGAAUUGCUUGAACAAAUGUUGCAUUCAAGGUGCUUGUUUAAAAUGCUUAUACGAAAUUUUGUUUAUUGUUUUUGGUUUUUUUUUUCAAAAUUUUUGACUUGUUUCGGGAGUAAUUUUAUCUGGGUUUUUGUUUAAAAUAGGUGCAAAGCUUCCUUUAUAUGCUUUCAAGAGGGUGAACAAGUUUAAAACUGAAAUGGGUGUGCAUGGACACGAGGUUAGAGAGCCCGAGCCUCCCGUUGCAUUUCUGGACUCGCUCGUUCUUGGGGAGGUAAAUUUUGUUAAGCAAAUGAUAAAAUGAAGAUUGAAUGUUGAGUUUAUGUUGUGUGUCCUUGAUAGCAUUUGUUUACCUGUAACCAAGUAUAAAUUAGUUUCCAAUCUCAUUGUAGUGGGAGGACCGCGUACAGAGAGGACUAUUUCGCUAUGAUGUUACUGCCUGUGAAACCAGGGUAUCUUUUUGGUUCCUCUAAAAAUUGAAUGUUUAUUUGAUUUUGCAUGUUGGUUUUCAUUGAGAUUUCUUUACUAUACAAAUGUUCGUUUAGGUCAUUCCUGGUCAGUAUGGUUUCAUUGCUCAACUGAACGAGGGCCGCCACCUGAAGAAAAGGCCUACUGAGUUCCGUGUUGAUAAGGUCCUCCAGCCUUUUGAUGGGAACAAGUUCAACUUUACCAAAGUGGGGCAAGAAGAGGUGCUCUUCCAGUUUGAGGCAAGCGAAGAUGGUGAAGUCCAGUUUCACCCAAGUGCCCCCAUUGAUGUUGAGAAUUCUCCAAGUGUUGUUGCCAUCAAUGUAUGUUCUUUGUUCUUAGUUUUUAUAGCUAAGAGAGUAUGUUAAUGUUGAGCAAGAAUUUAAUUAAAUUUUUUUUUUGGGCACAAAAUAAAGCGAGCCUAGGAAGCUAGUUGAGCAAGGAUGUAUGCUAAUAAUUUAUCUUUCCUGGUGUGUAUAAUUUAACAGGUGAGUCCUAUUGAGUACGGGCAUGUGCUGUUGAUCCCACGAGUUCUUGAGUGCUUGCCACAGAGGAUUGACCGUGAUAGCUUCUUGCUCGCACUUUACAUGGCUGCAGAAGCUGGGAAUCCAUACUUCAGGUUGGGUUACAACAGCUUGGGUGCAUUUGCUACCAUCAACCACCUUCACUUCCAGGUUUAUAUCUACUUAAAUUACUCAGCUAAUUUUCUCAAAUGCGGAUUUUGCUUAUGAAUAGCUAUCCGCAGUUACUUAACAGUGGGUAACUAAAAUGCAACUUACUGAUUUCAAUUGCCACAGGCUUACUACAUGGCCUUGCCUUUUCCAAUUGAGAAGGCUCCUACCAAGAAGAUAAUCUCUACUGGCAGUGGUGUGAAGAUCUCUGAGCUUUUAAACUAUCCGGUCAGAGGCCUCGUCUUUGAAGGUGGAAACUCUCUGGAAGACUUAUCCAACACAGUCUCGGAUGCGUGCAUUUGCCUUCAAGAGAACAACAUUCCUUACAAUGUUCUCAUUGCUGAUUGUGGAAAGCGCAUAUUUCUCUUACCACAGGUAGUAAAUUUAGAAUCACUGCCGAAGUUAUUUUGUUUUUGCCAUGUUGUGCAUGGAAAUAUUUUUCCAGUUUCACUUUGAUUUACAAUUUGUUCAAAACGAACCAACAGUGCUAUGCUGAGAAACAAGCUCUUGGGGAAGUGAGUUCAGAGCUUCUGGACACCCAAGUGAACCCUGCUGUGUGGGAGAUUAGUGGGCAUAUGGUGUUAAAGAGGAAGAAGGACUAUGAAGAGGCAUCCGAGGAAAAUGCUUGGAGGCUGCUUGCCGAAGUCUCUCUCUCUGAGGAGAGGUACCAAGAAGUAAAUGCUCUCAUCUUUGAAGCCAUUGCGCGUGGUGAUGAUGCCAAUGGAGGUGUUGCUGAGAGCGUAAUUGGAGAGGCAGAUGCGAAACCAAAGUCUGGCGGUGAAGUGGAUGCAAUUAAUAAAAACUCUUGCCCUGCCAUGGUGUCGGGGACUCCAGAAUGCCUGGUUCUUCAGUAAGAUCCCUGGCUUGGUGACCAGACCGUUUGUGUUUGUCUGGUUCAUGUAUGAUAGCUUAAAUAAGUGACUGUGUUAUGGAGUGUGGCAGUAGCCUAAAUAAGCAAACUUCGUUUGCGCUGCUUUGCGUUUAGUCUAAUUUGCCGCCUAUGGGCGCUGUGAUGUAUGUAAGAUAUUCUGUUUGCUGAUGAGCCUCUCUGUUGAUGCUCAUGGAAUUUAUUUCUGUAUAAUUAUAUGCUGCAGUAGCGGCAGCAGGUAUUGUGGCUUGAUGAUCCGCUAUUGCUUCUACAAACUUGCAUCAGCAAUGACGUACUGACGGAAUGCAAACAGAGAAUCUAUCUUUCUUAUUCUACAUGUCCCUUUAGAUAAUGGAAAACUUUUUGACCUGCCACGUCAAAAAUUCCCAGAGCUACCAAAUGGGACGAAGAAAAAGAAAAAUGAAUAAUAAAAAAUUUAAUUAAAAAAUUAGAAAAGAAAAGUGCUUCUGAUGCUUCAACGGUGAUCAAUAAUAAUUAUAAAAUAAUCUAGCGAAUUGAGACGCCUCAUGCACCAAACAUUGCGUCCACACCCAAAUAGUUAAUUGCCGUUCCAUAAAUAUAUAGCGUUUAUUUGAAAUUCUCAAAAAAAAAAAAAAAAUUGAAAGUGUCAACUUCCAAGUCAAGACUUCUUUUAUUUAUAAUUUUGAUAUCAUUAUUUAUUUGUUUCAAAAUAGGACAUGAAAUGUAUAUUUAAAUUUUGAAGAUUAAAUUAAGGGGAAAAAAAACACUUUUUUACAAUGGCAAUUCUAAAUAAUACUAUAGUUUUCAGUUAAAUCAUUAAUUUUAUAAAGACAAUCGUUUUCAGAAUCUGAUGGAAUCUGGAAAAGGGAAAAUGGACUUGUGUUAAAAUAUUUAUAAACUAUGCCCUUAUUUGUGAUUUGUAAAAAUGAGAGGGAGCCAGAUAUUAUUGUCUCAAACCAUAUCAUGAGCUCCAUCCAUGUUCACGGUAGUUUCAAAACUUUUCGACAAAGGCUUGGAGACUCGGGUGUGCUUGGUACCAUUGAAAAUGUGUUGUUUUUUGUUUUAUGAAAAGGAAAAUGGAGAAAAUUUGUUUGGUGAGCUUAUUUUGGUAGAAAACUGUACAAUGAUUAAAAAUAAAACAAUUCCAUUUUUUAAUGUUUACAAAGAAAACAAGAGAACGCAAUUAUAACGUUCUCUAUUUUAUUUCACUUUUACUCUCUGCCAAGAGUCCCAAUAUCUUAACUUUUAUAACAUAGUGUAACAAAUUAUGUGGGCCCAUUUAAUAAAGAAAUAAUUUAAUAAAUAAACUAUUAUAACAAAUAUUUAAAAAUAAUAGCAAGAGUUUAUUCCUUAAUUACUUAAUAUAUUACCCAUAUUGUUCUAAAUAAAAAGAAAUAUCAUAUAAUUAUUAUACUAAAUUAUUACAUUGUUCGACCAAUAUGCAGUUAUUUAAAAACUAUUACAAACUUUCAUAUAUUAAUGAAAAUAUAUCAAUAAUAAAGUUACAUUCUAACAGCUAAUAUAAAUAAAUAUAUGAUAAUUAUGAAAUAAUUUAAGAUUUUCUCAAUUAAUAUUAUAUAUUAUCUUAUAACUACAAUUUAUUUACAUAAUUAAAAGCUUUUAAGAAAUUAUUAAAAUAUCUUCGAACCUAUAUGUAUUUAUAAUAAUAUAUAAUACAUCAUAAUAUAUAGCUAAAUAGAUAAAUUAUUUAAUGAUAUAAAAUAUAUAUUUAAAUUCAUUGUAUUAUAUUAUUCUUUCAUAAUAGUUUCAUUAAAUAGUUCUCUAAUCUCUCUCUCUUUUUGUCUUUAUUUUUUUAGACAAGCAAUCAAACACUUUUUUCAUCUUUUUAUUUUCAAGUAUUGUUCUUAAAAUAAAGGGUUAUUAUUAUUUUACUACUUUAAAAUUUGUCAAAUAUCAAAUGACUACAACAAGUAUUGUUUCAUAUCAUUUUCUUACUAUAUCUUUAUAAAAAUAUCAUUUUACUACUUUUCCGUUACAACAAAUAUCAUUUUACUAUUUUUCCGUUACAACCGUUAGUUAACUCGUUAGUCGACCAGUUAGUUGACUAACAAAAUAUUAAUUUUACCCUUCAUGAUUAAAAAAAUAAGUUUCAUUAAAAAAAAUAAUAAGACAAAUUUAUUUUGUAAAUAAGCUUCAUUUUCAUAAUUCCAGCAAAAAGAAUUAUGUUGGUAUUUUAUAUCCAUUUUAAUAAAUAUAUUACAAAUUUAUUUUGUAAAUAAGUUUCAAGUAAUUUUUUUUAAUCAUAAAGGGUGAAAUUGGUAUUUUGUUAGUCAACUAACUGGUUAACUAACGGUUAUAAUGGAAAAGUAGUAAAAUGAUAUUUUUAUCAAGAUAUAGUAGGAAAAUGAUAUGAGACAAUAUUUGUUGUAGUCAUUUGAUAUUUGACAAUUUUUGAAGUACUAAAAUGAUAAUAACCCAUAAAUAAACUACCAAACAUGUUUUUAUUUUUAACAAAAACUAAUCAUUCUUAUUUUAUAGAACAAAUUCAAAAACACCAUUUAAAAAAUGAUACCAAACGCACCCUUAGCUUCCGCUCACUGUGAGUUUUCAAAUCUCUCAACAUACUUAUGCGCAAAUAAUUGGGUUUCCAUCUAGAACUUUACACCGUAUGUUUGAUUUACCUUUUGAAUGUACGGAGUAUGAAUCAACCCUUGAUUUGUUUUUCACCCAGAAUAAUAAUUAUUAUUAUUUUUCGAGUUACCGGCAGAUUAAGGGAUCCCAGCGCUGAUAUUUGCCUCGGGUCAAACCCAGUUAACGGAAGCAUAGGUCGUCGUUUUCGGCUCUUUUUUUUUUUGUUUCGUUUUGAAACGGCACCGUUUCUGCUUCUAUUUUUUUUCUUCUUUCUCUUUGUUUAACUUAACCCAGCUGCAGACCCCUUCCUUCUUCCACUUCGUUCUCUUCAUCCACCGACAACCACAUUUGUUUGCAAAUCCUUCAGAACCCAGCCACUCCUUUGUUUGCCUCCUCUCCAUUCUCAAGUCAAACACGCAACUUUAUACUUUCCUGCACAAUAACAUAUAUAGCUGCAAAGUCUCUUUGUUGUUGAAAUGGAUCAAGACAUUAAAAUAUAUGAGCACAAAUUUUUUAGCACAAAUUUUCAAGGACAAUCUCCAAGUUCAAAGGAAGAAAUUAAUGGCAAUGAAAUAAUCAUGAUGCGAGAUAUGAUUCAUAUAAACACAACCCAGAAGCAUGUAUAAGUUUAAUAACUUAUACACAUCAAUCUACACUAUGCUUCAAAUUGAAGAAACCAGGGGCACCAUUUUUCAAUUCAGGUAUAUUGUUGUUUCUCUUCUCUUCGUUCACAGCAAAUCAGAACAAAGAAAAAAAAUUAAAAGCAGAAACAAUGUGAUGAAGAGAAUGAAGAGAAGAGAACAAAGAGGAAGAAGCAAGGGGUCUGCAGUUGGGUUAAGUUAAACGAAGAAAAAGAAGAAAUCAGAACAAAGGAAAAGAAAAUAGAAGCAGAAAUGGUGUCGUUUCAAAACGAAUAAAAAAAAAUAACAGCCAAAAUGACGACCUAUGCUGCCGUGUCGGGGUUUAACCCGGGACAAACAUCAUUUUCCAAGGGAUCCUUGUCUCUGAAAUUUGAAUUUUUUUUAUAGAUGGGUUAGCGAAUGUUGGUUAUUACUAAUGUGUUUGAUGAAAUACCUGUGAGAAAUUAGUCUUCUCAUGUAAAACUUUUACACUCUGUUUGGCCAGGAGGAUGUUUACAGGGAGGGAAAUAAUGUGGAAUUUUAUAAUGUUUUGAGUCCCAAUAAUAGCUUGACCUUUUCUAUGUUCUUAACCGACGACUAUUGCCAGAACCUACAACAUCGGGUUGGAAAUUUUUAUUGCAAAAUUGAGUAUGAAAAUUGAAUUAAUUAGAAAACUUUUUUGGUUGGAGUUUAGGAUUUAGAGGCAUGCUAGUGAGUGGAUGUUUCCAAUUUCUAUGUUUUGAAAAUUUAGAGAAGAAUUUGUCGGCAAAUAGACCAGAUGCCAAUACUAAUAUGUUGGAAAGUUCUUGUAUUAAUGUGUCACUAUAAAAUCAUCUGCCGUGUAUAUGCUCUUGAAAGGCUAGUUUGGAUAUCUUAUAUAUUAACCUCAAGGGUGAUUUAUGCAUUAAAGAUAGAUUAGAUAUCAUAGGUUUUGGAUGUAUUUCAUUGUUUUGUUAUGAGAAUUGAGGUUUACCUAUUGGUUGAAUGCAUACAUUGACAAUUGCUGACUGGAGCUAUCUACUUUGGAUAUGCAAAGGUAAACCUAAUUUUCAUAAAAUCCACGCGCGUCAGUUAGAAUGAGCCUGGAUGGAACAAACAUUUCUUGAAGCAUCUAAAAAUAAUUCACCAAUAAAUAAAUAUAAUAUUUUCUUGAUGCAUCUUAAUAGUUAUUUAUUUUUUUGCUACAUGCUUACAUGUGCCGCUACAUAUCAAGUGGAAACACUUACACGAGAUCUCACUUAUCAGAUUCCAUUGUGGAACACACCAUUUUUUCUAAAGAAUUCGCCAUGCUCUAUCUGAUCCAUCCAUAAUAUCAUGAAAAAUGGAUACAAAUUUUUGACUGCUACUUAGUACCAAUAAUAGGUCUGAAAAAGUAUUUAAAAAUACCAAAUUUAGAUAUUUGUGCCCUGUCGAAGUAAGGAACCAUGGCAUAUAUGUUUGGAAUCGAUUCCAUUUUGAGAGAGUUGAAAAAGCAUUGUCUCAUUGAAAGGUUCUAGACAUCUGCCAUUUCUCAACGCAUUUCUUUAGACAAAAAUUCUGUUUUUUCCUCUUUCUCUUUUUGGAUAGUAAAUAUUUCUAAGAACAUGGAGUGUGAAUCAAACCCAUAUUUGAAUUGAAAUUGAGAUACUGAUGCAAGUUCUUCUCGUCUGAAUCAGAUUGAUUCAUAUCUGAAAGACAUUGACAAUGAAAUAUUUAGUUCUUUCAGCUGUAUGAGAACUGAAACAUUUAUCCAAUCCAAUUUUAAAAAUUUCUAAGAACAUAGAGUGUGAAUCAAACCCGUGUUUGAAUUGAAAUUGAGAUACUGAUGCAAGUUCUUCUCGUCUAAAUUAGAUUGAUUCAUAUCUGAAAGACGUUGACAAUGAAAUAUUUAGUUCUUUCAACUGUAUGUGAACUGAAACAUUUAUCCAAUCCAAUUCUAAAAAUUUCUAAGAACAUGGAGUGUGAAUCAAACCCAUGUUUGAAUUGAAAUUGAGAUAUUGAUGCAAGUUCUUCUCGUCUAAAUCAGAUUGAUUCAUAUCUGAAAGAGGUUGAUGCGUAAAUUAGCAAGCGCACUAGUUGGCACAAGUAAUAUAAUGAAGAGUAGAGUGACAUAGAUUGUAUAUCCUAUUAAUUACUAAAAUUAUUCUAGCCAUAAUUUAUUUGAAUAACCGAAUAAAUGAAUUUAGAAUAAAAAUUAAAUAAAAUAAAAUAACUAAAAACUAAAUAAAGAUGCAGACAGUAAUAGAAAUCACCAAGAAAUUAAGACAUUAGAACAUCCGAUUUCACCAUAAUUAAUCCAAUUUAAUUCUCCAUCUAUGCUAUUAAAGUUUAUUACCCAUGUUGACAGUGAAUUUCUCUAAUCUAUUUAAUAUCUUCUCUCGAGUAAUAUCAAAAAUAUCAUUACAUAUUAACCCACUAUAUCUCUAUGUGAAUUUCAAUAUGCAAAGAUUCAUUAAGUUAUAUGGAAACUCUUAAAAAAACUGCAUGAAUCACGUUGGCACAUCUAUGUCUUUCGUUCAAUUCAUGACAUCCAUUAAACAGAGCAAAAAUACAUAAAUCUCCUCUCGGUCUCAUUAUGUACCCUCAAAUCAUUUAAAUAUUGGCCAUAUAUUUAAAAGCAUUAAGCACAAUAAUGAACUCUCAAUCAUGAAAUAAUAAACUAAAAAUAAUACAGAUUUAUGGAAUUAAACUUUCAUAGUUAGGUUGCAUCAUAGCCCUAGUAAAAUAAAUUAGUUCAUAGAAAUAUAGAGAGAAUCCAUGAAUUUAAUUGGGAACAUUCAAGUAAGAUAAUAGAAAAAUAGAAAAGAAAGAGUAAACUCAGGAAGCUAUCUCUCCAAAUUGUUGCUCCCGGAUUUGCAGCGGCAGCUUCACUUCUUUUUUUCUUUUCUUGCUCUCGGUUUUUUUCUCAGUUUCUCAAUUUGUGCGGCUGCUCCCGUCCUCCUCCUCGGUUUUGCUUCUCUUUCAUUUUAUAUUAUUGCUCAACCCGCGAAUCCUUAAAUCAAAAGGAUUUAAAACAAGAAUCCCUCUAUGUUACAUUCAUGUAACUUACAACACUCUCACAUAAAUAGUAAGUAAUGUGGCGUUCAUUCACUAUUCAAUAUUCAUGUGAGAGGGUUGUAAGUUACAUGAAUGUAGCUUAACAUUAGCCUAAAACAAAACAAGCCUAGCCUACUUUUUAAGUCCAUGCACGUGAAUCCCACUUGAAUCAAUGGUCAAUGUCCUUUUUUAACUAUUCACGUGAGUUGUAGUGUUGUACACAUAAAAAGCCAAUUAUUGCCCUUUAAACAUCCUUUUUCUUCUUUUCUUUUAUUCUUCACAAGUGACAAUUAUUUCCAUAAACUCUAAUUUGUUUCGUUUUUAAGCUCCCUUUUAUUUGAAUAUUCCCAAUAUUCCUACAAUAAUAAAAUAUAAAAAUAAAAAUAAAAAUAAAUAUAAUAAAAUAUAAUUUAACAUAAAAUUAAGUUAAAUUUUUUUUAAAAUAAUAGAUAAAUUAUGAGUACAUCAAACGUUGACAAUGAAAUAUUUAGUGCUUUCAACUGUAUGCGAACUGAAACAUUUAUCCAAUCCAAUUCUAUGAGUUAUUGAGUACCUCUGAUAUGAGCCUAUGUCUUGUGUAGUUCCUAUUGGUUUUGCCCCUUAUUGAGAAAGAGCUAAAGCAUUUCAAAAGAAAAACCUCCAGCUGUGCCAUUUAACAUCAAUAGACUCCCUUCACACUGUUUUCUUCCUUAACAUGGUUCACAUUUAAUGUGUUUAAGCAGUUUUUAAUUUAUUUUUUAGCAAUAUAUUUAAAUAAAUAACAUUGUUUUUAUUUGUCUAAUAAUUGAUCACUGCAUAUACAUUGGUAAAACAAUUAUCCUCAUUCCAUUGUUGUUUAGCUACAAAACUUUUUUAAAAUCUGAAUUUCUGUGUAAAGUUCUUUUCAUAAGCUUCUUUUUAAUUUGCAGAUUUGGAGAAAAUGAAGAAAGGACUGCACCCUCAGAUGCAAUGGAUAUCCUAUGUGACUCAGAGUGGCAGACUGAUGCAUGUUAUGAUGACAAAAAUACACAAUGUUGGCAAAGUUUACCAUUUUAGGGCCAGGCGCCAAAUGGCUCAGAGUAUUGGACAAGUUGCCAAGUUCAGGCGACGUUAUGAACAGCAGGCGGACGCAGAAAACAAUGAAAAAUGAGGCAUCUAGAACACAUAGAGAAGUUAGGUAUCUGUUGUUGGAUUUGAAUUGCUUUUAAGAAAUAAGCAUAAACAUUGUGCUCUAAAUUCUGAAGCAAAGUUUGUUUUCUGCUCCCUUAAGGCUUCAAUGUUAAGUGCACAUUUCCAUUUUGAUGAUUCGGGUGAUGUCAACGAUAGUUAUAAAGUUUUUGUGCAAUACCAAUCGGCUAGUUUGAUUGCAUGUUUCAUACUUACAUUUGGGCUUGAGUUAGAAUUGGUGGCAUAAUCCUCCUUUGCGCUGUGGUGUUUCUAGCAUUUGGCAUUGUAUAUGCAAGCAAGGGUGCAUUAUUACAUUUUAACCCCCAUUGCUUUGCAAACUUUUGUUGUUUAUGCUACGUAAUGCAAAACAUUAAUUAGUCUUUGUAUUCACCAUCUCAAGUACGGGUGUGAAUUCGUGUAAUGGUGUCGUAUUCGUAUCAUGUCUAUUCAUAUCGCAUAAAAUUUAAGCAAAAACGGAUAUGACUCGAUUUACUAAUCAUGUCAAAACAUCAAAAAAAGGUUACGAUCUGUUUAUUCAUUGUGUUAAUAGCGUUGACUUGUUAACAUACUGAAUACAUAAUUAUUGAAAAUCAAUCUAAAAAAUAAAAUAUAUGUCGAUAUUAUUCUUAAAAAUAGGUCAUAAAUAAAUUAACAUUACAUAAAUAUGACAUGAAUAAAUUUAUAACAUAAUAUGAGUAUGACAUAAAAAAAUUAAUUUAGCAUGUAGUAUAUAUAAUUUAAUUUUUUUUCAAUAAUAUUAAUUAAUAUUCAUGUCUUAAAUAUAAUUAUUUUUAAGUGGUCUAACACGAAUACAAUACGAAAUUUAUCGUAUAUGUCAUGUCAACGCAUUUUUUAAUAAUAUCAAUAUUUGAAAAAAAAAAUCCUCUAUCGUAUGAUCUCUGUUCCAGUUGUUUCCUCUCGGGGUUUAUAAAAGUAAUGGGCCUCAGGUUUGCCCCAUAGGAGGACCAAUUCUUUCCAAGAAAAAAGCCCGUCCAAUUUUAAUUUCAAGGGAUUUGAUUGAUCGCUGCCGACUUUAUUUCUAAUUUAGGAUUUGUUACAGCUAAAGCACCUACAUGCACGAAGCAAAGCAUAAAUCUCCUGCCUAUCACGUAAUUAGUAACAACACAAGACUGGAAAUCAUGAAGCUCCUGUAAGAAAAACAUGAGGCCCCUUAAUAGUAACUGAAAAUCACUUUUCUUUUUCUAUAAUUUUUUUGUUGGUAUAAAUCUCAUUUAGGACUCUUCUUACCUCUAAUGCAAAGUUCAAAUGAUCCGGCUGGCCAAUGCCCUAAUAGCAACCAUCUUGCAACUCUCACUCGUUGUAAUAGUAGAAGCGACUUCAACACACAAAGUUGUGCAACAAAAUGCCAUUGGAAAUGCCUCUACAUCAACAUCAUCGCCAUGGCUCAAUAAAGUAGCAAACGGGGGCCGGCGGCCGAGGCCGUCCGAGUGCUGGAACAGGCAAUGGAUAUGCAGACAAGGAGAAGCACCGGGGACCCGAAUGAGAUGCUGCAGAAACCGUUGCGUUGAUGUGUUUUCUGAUGUUAAUAACUGUGGCUUAUGUGGAAUUCGAUGUCGAUUUUCUUGGCAAUGUUGUCGUGGAUUUUGUACCAACACAAAUAGGGGCCCCUUUAACUGUGGAAGAUGUGGGAAUAGAUGCCCUUGGGGUGUCAGGUGCAUUUAUGGUAUGUGUGGAUAUGCUCAGCCAUGGCCAAGACCAAGGCCAAGGCCACGGCCGCAGCCUCCGCAUCCUUCUCAGCCUAAACCACCUAGUCCUUGCCCGCCAAGGGGUGACCAGCCACCUAAACCACCUAGGCCUUGGCCGCCACGGGGUGAUCAGCCACCUCCUAUGGGUUGAAGUUCAUCAUAUUUCUAGCUGGCUAUAUGGUUCUCAUUUACAGUGAGCUAUUAGCUGUAUCAUUGCCUCUUAGUUAAUGUCUGUUUUGAGUCUUGCUGUUGGUGAAACUAGUCGUAUAUUUCUCUCACUUUAUGUUUAGAGAGCGAUCUUGUGUUUCAACUUUCAUAAGUACUAGUAUUUUGGUGUUUCACUUUCAUGCAAUGCGAAGGUUAAUUCAGUUUGUUUAUAAUUGGCUUUCCAUGCAUGGCGUAGACGCAAGCAUACACGCAUAUAGGGUUUCCUCCAUUGCAUGAAUAAUCCCUCUAUUUCCCUCCAAGUUUGAUUCACGCUCUAGUUUAAAUUCAUUGUGGAUUGCAGAUAUAGAUUUCGUUUCAUUUAUCAAAUUAUCCUCUUCAUUUUAUUUUAACUCCUGCUAGCUCCACAAAACUUGCCCAUUUAUACAUUACUUGGGGUAAUUUUUAUUUUUUAUUAUUUUAAAGAAUUAUGCAACCAAGUCAUUAAACUGCCCCAUAAAUUUAAACAUCAUUAGGAAGCAUCAUAAACUAAGGGAUAUUGUUAUUGUACGAAUACAGUUUUAGGUUUAAAAAUAAAAUUAAAAAAGGGGCAACCAACUGCAUCAACUUUGCAAAAUGAUACAUUAGUUUUCUCUCCCAGGUUCGUAGUUUCAGAAUGGAAAAAUAGGUCGGAAUUACUUGUACUUCUCUGCAAGUAAAUGGAACUCAAGUUAGGUCAAGUAUCCAGCAGUUGAGGCAAGACUUGUUCGAUUGCAGUCGCCUAUUAUUAAUAGACAGGAAAACUCGGAUCCACAUCAUUUGCCCAAGACUCCAGGCCUCCAAUAAUAUCUCUUGCAGAAGUGAAACCCAGCUUGUGAAGAGCUUGUACGGCUCUCUGUGAAUCAUUGCCUCUUCUGCAUACUACAUACAGGUUAGAACCUGAACUCGCAUUUGAUCCUCUGUGCUCUUCCUUUUCUUUCAUUGCCGAUGAAAUCUCAGGCAACCUGGAUUCCAAAUCUGAGAGAGGGAUGUUUAUGGAGUUUGGAAGAGAAACAAUCCUGAAGUGAUGUGCUGGCCUGACAUCAACUAAUAUAUGAGCUUCUCCAUUAACAACUUUUUCUUUGUACUCCUUGCUGCUUAUUCUAGAAUCUGCUGAGAGCAAAUUCAAUUUCAAGGGAAGCUGUAUAUAAUUGGAAUGUCAACGUAUUAGAUUUUAGCGAUAUAAUAAUAUUGGCAGUUAAAUUAGCAGAAUGCAAUACAUACCGUAGACAGAGGUGACUGAGUGAACUUUUCAUAAUCAAAAUUUCUGAAGUGGUCUUGGGUAAAUGUUGAAUUUUCUCCACAAGCUUCACAUUGUGAUGAUCUGCCUCUAAUCUUGACCUAAGCAAUGAUAUAGAGACAAAUAUCAGCAUGUAAAUUAAAUGUCAAGAAGGUUCAGUUUAACUAUUACUUGAACAAAAUGCGUUUAAGGUAUUCACAUCAGAAAGACAGAAACCAUACAAAUCUAAAUCCAUUUUGGUUUCACCAAAUAUGGUAUAUGCUAAAUACAAUUACUGAAGCUUGUAAAUUGUUAAGAAUAUUAAUCAUGCUUUCCAAACUAGAGUUGACCAGUAACAAACUUUGAAAAAUAAGUAAAAUGAACAUACAAUUCGGAUUCGUGCUGACAAUGCAUCAAACAGGAGCAUCCGUCCUGACAGUGGUUCACCAACAGCACUUGCAACCUUAAUGGCCUCUAAGGCUUGGAGACAGCCAAUGAUUCCAGGAACUGAAAACGAAAAAUUAAAAGCAUUAGUAUUUCAUAAAGCAAACGGCAUUUCAAGAGCUUGAAAAUUGGGCAUUAUGGUAUUGAAAUAUAACUUCGGCUGUACCAAAUGAAUUACUAACCUACCUACUCCAAGGACUCCACUAUCAGCGCAUCUUUGGCAUGCUGUAGUUGGUGGUGGGGUUGGAAAUAGGCAACGAUAGCAAGGACCUCCAUUGUAAUUGUAAACUGUGAGCUACAGUGCAAAUUUUAACAAUGCAGUUAUGCUAGAAGCUCAGGUACUAUACAUGAGCCAAAACUAAAAUCUCUACAAAAUAUCUUUUAUAUGUUUCUAGCUAGAAGAAUAGCACAAAACUGCGGCUCAAUUGCAUACCUGCCCUUCCAGUCCCAGUGCAGCACCUGAUACCAGAGGCUGCAGGCAUAAACAUGGAUUAAUAAUUUUUCAAAGCAGGCAAUGGCAGAAUAUCAUAUGUUUCUCACAUGUUGAAACACAUAAGACAUUGCCUCAGCUGCAAGCCUCAUUUAAAACGAAAACCAGAAAUGUAAACACAGUACACAUGUUAGCCCAGUAACCUCGUUAUCUGAAAUUAAAAUUGAAUCUCUUAACAAUUUUAAAUGCAUUUAGGGAUGAACAGAAUCUAUGCGAACCAAAAUAUAACUUCAUUGAACUCCAAUUGCCCCACGUCAAAACAUUAUUUUGAAGUCAAUUUAUACAUCCUUACACAAUCAUGCAAGACGAUCAGCAAGUCACAGAGUCAACUUACCUUUCCCAACACCACACAACAAUCACUGAUCAUGUAACGGCUUGGAGCAUUAUCGGUUGCAUCUACAACUAUCUCAUAUCUAAAAUGUUACAACAGUUACGGAACUCUCGAGAUUCCAGAUAUACUGACCCCAGUGGUAAAUGGAGGGAAAUUUUAUUUCACAGAGAGAAUUAUUCAUUCAACUAUUUCCGAAGGAUACUGACUCAGUAUUUCCAAAGCAUUGGAUGUGCGUAAAGCUUCUCUGUGCUCAAUAAUGUGAACAGUGGAGUUGAUCCUGGAACACACAUUCAUAUUAGAUAAAAUCAAGACAAAGCCAAUACAACAGAAUAAGCCCCACCAAACUCUCAAGUGAAGACAAAAAUGAGUUCAGCCUUCAGAAUAAGGUGAGCUAAUGCAAAAAAUGCAGAAAAGUAACAUACGAACGACAAGUAGCAGCAGCAGAUUUCACUUUUGAUUGACCAAUAUAUGGUUCGGUGUGGAUAACCUGAAAUAUGCAAAUAAAAAAGAAACUAAUAAAAGAAUAUUUAUAAUCACAAUCACAAUCACCAUAAGUAAUUUUUCUUUUCUUUCUUUCUUUUUUUUUUUUGGGAAAAUUCAAGAUGACAUUGUAGAAAGAGAGAUGCAGAAAAUAAAGCAAUGUAGAUAUAAUUUUUAUAAGCAUUGAUCAUCUGCCUACAUGUGCCUGUUACAGGGGGAGUUAAAAUGUUUUUGAUGGUGAGAAAGACACUGAAGUGACACGCGUGUAUGUAUUCAAAGUCAUAAGUAAUAGCAUCAGGUCAAUGGUGAUAGCAAAUUGACAGAAUUCUACAGAUCAACAAUAGUAGCAGGAAUAGUGGAAUACCAUAUAUCAUAGAAACAGUAAACACGAAUUUCCUAUUUUUACCUGCCUGUGCAUGUUGUUAAGCUCAACUACAUCAUGAUCCACAAUACCCAAUCGCCCUGAAGAACAAUUAAACAAAAAAGUCAAGCUAAUGAAACAUUCAAAAGACAUAUAUAAAACAGCAGCCAUUUGAUAAUCACAUAAACAAACCAUUCAGCAUAAAUCAAAGUGGAUGCAGUGGGGGGCUUUUUGCUCAGCAAAAGCCCUUCGGAUAGUAAAUAAGGCGUUGAUAUCGCCUAUCCAAAAAAAAUUUGAUUGAAAAGAAACACUUGCAAGAAGAGCUACUUAGUAAAAACAUUACCAAACACAAUUUAAACCAUAUUCAGUGAACUCUUAAAUCAUCUUACCAACACCACAAGCUGCAAGAUACAGCAGAGCCGGCGAGCCCAAGCCCCCAGCUCCAAUCACUAAAAUCGAAGACUUGAGGAGAUUCGAUUGCCCUACAACAAGAAAUAAAUCCAAAAUUUCAAAUUUAAUUCAAUAAGAUGCUAAAGGAAUGAAAUUCUGGAAACAAUUGAUUUAAAAAGUCAAACCUUCAACACCGAAAGAAGGAAGCAAGAGGUGGCGACUGUAACGGUAAAUCAUAUCCGGUGAUAGUCCAUAAUCAACGGCAGAGCUUGGACGAUAAGAACCAUUAGAAACGGUGUCGGUUUGGGGCUGACUAACAGUCGUGUCACGAAGCUGAGCUUCAAGAGCGGAGAUUCGAUAAUCAAUAUCACUCUUAGCAGCCUUUAAGGUUUCAAUUUCGCCGAGGACUCUUGCCACGUCAGUGCUACCUCCGUUUGUCUCCAUAUUCUGAACAACCGAAGACGUCCAGUGAAGACUGUGAAGUGGGGUCAGAGGUGAAGCGGCAAUCAGAGGAACCCUAAUUAGACAGAAAAGUGACAAAUUCAAAGAAUGAUACCGGUGAGCUGGAAACAGGAGGAAAAAAAAACCUUAACACAUCCUAAUUUCAGACUCCUAACGCAAGAUGGAAGAAAAAGACGAAAUUACCCUUGAAGGAGAUUCCAGACGUGUUCGAUGUAAUUGCUCUCACCAAAUCACAACCCGCCAGGGAUGAUCCCUAUCGUGAGACCAAAAACGGAAUGGCAAAUGAAUAAACAGCCACGUGUCUCGUUGGCUCUCGGACUGAUAUGUCUAUAAAUAUAUCAAUCCGAAGUCUGAUCAUUCCCUCUCGGCAAAGUUAAACCAUCCAUCCGAUCAGUCGCAAGGGGCGUGGCUCACUCACAAAUCCAAUACUAACAAUAAACGAUGUCGUUAGUGUCGCAAAUGAGAGGCUUCAUCUUCCUUUACUUCAAAUCUUCACGACCAUCUUCUAUCAAGCCUUUGACGGCAUAUCUCUACAAGCCCUUCAAGGUACGCGCAUACGCAUAGAACAUAAAUAAUCGCAGUUGAUUAGUUAACUAUAAGAUUAAUUUUUGAUCUUAUUGUUUUUUUUUUUUUUUUUUUUUUUUGGGUUCGUGUCUAUUACGUUAUUUUGACAUAAUUAAAUAAAUGAAUACUGUGUCGUAUCAGAGGUACGGUAGCGAAGGAGCAAGCAAUAAAGAUCAAAAUAUAAGUAGUCUUCACCCCGAGAGGCAUGGGAGAGCGCCGUCAAUAGCUGAAGAGUUCGAGAGAGUUGCAGAGGAAAAGCUUCGAGCUGCGGGUCAAGGGGUUGGGAGUCAGACCAAGGACAAGGUUUACGAUGGAGCCGAAGAAUCCACCCGCGGUGGCUCCAAUGUUGAUUCUGUCAAAAACAGAUUCGAGGAGCACGAACAAGGAGCUGACUACCGCGGGAAGGGAGAUUGAGAUGUUUAAUAAUUAGUUUCAUAUACUCGGAGAUCUGUGAUUUUGAAUAAGUUGAUGAAGUAUGUGCAAUUCAUCAAAGAUGUAAAAUUCUUCUCCGUUUAGUUUCUUGUUUUGAUGCUGAGUUUUGGUAUGAUCAAGUUGAUGACAUUGGGAUAAAAAUACAGUUCUAUAAUAUUUAUGUGGGUUCAUAAAAUUCAUUCGUAUUGGCUUUAUAAUAUAUCUGUGAUUGAAUCAUAAAAAUUGUUGCAAAGAAAUAACCGAAGCUGCGCGAAUGUAAUUUUCGAACAAGCAUUUUAUUAUCAGAGUAAUUUAUGACAAAUUUCUAAAACAUGCCCUGCUGUCUCUAUCGUCCUCAUUCCUUUCCAAAUGUGUAAAAGGAUGAGAACCAAAAAAUAGAAUAAAAUAUGAACGUACACAAUUGACUCCAGCACAAAUCACAACUAGCGCGGGCCUAUUAAAAAGUCCUGAUAAAUUUUGGCUCCGUGUCGGUGGUGCUUGAAUAAAUUAUAUUUUCCUUCGUAAGAACCCGGGCCUAAUAAACUCAGCAGUAGAGCGGAAAGAGCCCAAUAGGAACGGCAAUAAGUUGGGUCUUUUUCCAUCUCUCAAAAUUCUUUAUAAAACUCAUUUCUUAUUAAAAUUACAUGAACACCUGAAAAUUAAUUAAUUAUUUUUUAUUUUAAAUGAAAAUUUAAUUAAUAUAUUCUUUCAACAAAAUUUCUAUUUCAUGAUUUUUUAUUGAUGUUUUAAAAUUAUAGCUAAAAAAUAUUUUGUAAAGAAUAUUAUAAGAAUUUUGAGUUAUGGAAUUAUAAGUAAUAUAAAAAAAUAUGUAUUUUAUAAUAAAUAAUUAAAAAAAUUUAACGUGAAAUUUGGUAAAAAUAUGGUUACUUUUUUUUUAUAAAAAUAUUUUAUAAAUUAAACUGAGAUUUUUCUUAAAGGGUGUUAAAAUUCCGCCCAAUGGGAGUACAUGCUUGAGCCCAACAAAGGCCCACUAAAAACAUACGGCAGUCAACAAUCAAAACCUGGCUUGGCUUCUUCUCCUACUCCUGCUUCGUUUCCUCUCAAUUUUUCUCACUUAUCUAACAAACCGCCAUCAAUCAGCGGCCGCCGCCGCAAGCCGCUGGCAGCAGUCACUUGGUUGCCCAAAUCGCCGGUUUUCUCACUCUUCGCAGUAAGUUUUUUUUAUCUGAAAUUAAAAUUUACUCUCUGAAAGUUAUUAUCAUUUUGAAUUUUUAUCGGCUUUAGCACCAUUAAUUGUAUCGCUAUCAUUACUGAAAAUAUCGAAGAGCAGAGAAAAACAUUUGCUUUUAUAUCUGAUUGAAAGCUUCAAUUUGUGGUGACAAUUCUUUUUCUUACUGUAUGUGAUGUAGGGGACCUGCGUUUUGAUUUUGUUUUCUAUUGGAACUUACUAUUAUGAGCUCCAUGUUCGCAGUAGUUUAAAAACUUUUCGACAAAGGCUUCGAAACUCAGUUCUCGGUCACUGUAAGUUUUCAACUCUCUCAAUAUACUGAUGCGCAAAUAAUUGGGUUUCCAUCUCGAACUUUACACGGUAUGUUUGAUUUACCUUUUGAAUCUCAUGAUGGCCAUUUUAUUCUCUACAGAAUUUUUGUUUUCUAAAAACUUGAGUAUGAAUGUACGGAGUACGAAUCAACCCUUGAUUUGUUUUUCACCCAGAAUAAUAAUUAUUAUUAUUAUUAUUUUUUUUUUUUUGAGUUACUAGCAGAUAAAGGGGUCCUUGUCUCUGACAUUUGAAUAUUUUUGAUAGAUGGGCUAGUGAAUUUUGGUUAUUACUAAUGUGUUUGAUGAAAUACCUGUGAGAAAUUAGUCUUAUCAUGUAACACAUCUACAAUCUGUUUGGCCAGGAAGAUGUUUGCAGGGAGGGAAAUAGUGAGGAAUUUUAUAAUUUUUGAGACCCGGUAAUAGCAUGACCUUUUCUUAACUGAGGACUAUUGCUGGAACCUACAGCAUAGGAUUGAAAUUUUUAUUGCAAAAUUGAGUAUGAAGAUUGAAUUGAUUAGAAAACUUUUUACAUUGGACUUUAGGAUUUAGAGGCAUGCCAGUGAGUAGAUGUUUCCAAUUUCAAUGUUUUGAAAUUUUAGUGAAGAAUUUGUGAGCAAAUAGACCAGAUGCCAAUACUAAUAUGUUGGAAAGUUCUUGUAUUAAUGUGUCACUAUAAAAUCAUCUGCCAUGUAUAUACUCUUGAUAGGCCAGUUUGGAUAUCUUCUGUAUUAACCUCAAGAUUGAUUUAUGCAUUAAAAAUAGAUUAGAUAUCAUAGGUUUGGAUGUAUUCCAUUGUUUUGUUAUGAGAAUUGAGGUUUACCUGUUGGCUGAAUGUACAAUUGUUGACUGUAGCUAUCUACUUUGGAUAAGCAAAGGUAAACCUAAUUUUCAUAAAAUCCACGCGCGUCAGUUAGAAUGAGACUGGAUGGAACAAACAUAUCAUGAAGCAUCUUAAAAUUAUUCACCAAGAAAUAAACAUAAUAUUUUCUUGAUGCAUCUUAGUAGUUAUUUAUUUUUGUGCUACAUGCUUACAUGUGCUGCCACAGAUCACGUGGAAACACUUACUCAAAAUCUCACUUAUCAGAUUCCGUUGUGGAAGACACCAUUUUUUCUGAAGAAUUGGCCAUGCUCUAUCUGAUCCAUUCAUAAUAUCAUGAAAAAUGGAUACAAAUUUUUGACUGCUACUUAGUACCAGUAAUAGUCUGAAAAAGUAUUUAAAAAUACCAAAUUUAGAUAUUUGUACCCUGUCGAAGUAAGGAACCAUGGCAUAUAUGUUUGGAAUCGAUUCCAGUUUGAGAGAGUUGAAAAAGCACUGUCUCGUUGAAAGGUUCUAGACAUCUGCCCUUUCUUAACGCAUUUCUUUAGACAAAGAGUCAAAGACUCCAUUUUUCCUCUUUCUCUUUUCGGAUGGUAAAUAUUUCUUAGACUGUGGAGUGUGAAUCAAACCCAUGUUUGAAUUGAAAUUGAGAUACCGACGCAAGUUCUUCUCGUCUAAAUUAGAUCGAUUCAUAUCUGAAAGAAAUUGACAAUGAAAUAUUUAGUGCUUUUAGCCGAAUGUGAACUGAAACAUUUAUCCAAUCCAAUUCUAUGGGUUAUUGAGUACCUCUGAUAUGAGCCUAUGUUUUGUGUAGUUCCUAUUGUUUUUGCCCCUUAUUGAGAAAGAGCUAAAGCAUUUCAAAAGAAAAACCUCCAGCUGUGCCAUUUAACAUCAAUAGACUCCCUUCACACUGUUUUCUUCUUUAACAUGGUUCACAUUUAAUGUGUUUCAGCAGUUUUUAAUUUAUUUUUUAGCUAUAUAUUUAAAUAAAUAACAUUGUGUUUAUUUAUCUAAUAAUUGAUCACUGCAUAUACAUUGGUAAAACAAUUAUCCUCAUUCCAUUGUUGUUUAGCUACAGAACUUUUUUAAAAUCUGAAUUUCUGUUUAAAGUUCUUUUCAUAAGCUCCUUUCUAAUUUGCAGAUUUGGAUAAAAUGAAGAAAGGACUGCACCCUCAGAUGCAAUGGAUAUCCUAUGUGACUCAGAGUGGCAGACUGAUGCAUAUUAUGAUGACAAAAAUACACAAUGUUGGCAAAGUUUACCAUUUUAGGGCCAGGCGCCAAAUGGCUCAGAGUAUUGGACAAGUUGCCAAGUUCAGGCGACGUUAUGAACAGCAGGAGGAUGCAGAAAACAAUAAGAAAUGAGGCAUCUAGAACACAUAGAGAAGUUAGUUAUGUGUUGCUGGAUUUGAAUUCCUUUUAAGAAAUAAGUAUGAACAUUGAGCUCUAAAUUCUGAAGCGAAGUUUGUUUUUGUACUACCUUGAGGCUUCAAUAUUAAGUACACAUUUCCAUUUUGAUGAUUCUAGUGAUGUCAACGAUAGAAACGGUGUCGUUUUGGGGCUGAGUAACAUUCGUCUCGCGAAGCUGUGCUUCAAGAGCCGAGAUCCGGUUCUCAAUGUCACUGUUAGCAGCCUUUAAGGUUUCAAUUUCGCCGAGGGCUUUUGCUACGUCAGCAUUACCUCCGUUUGUCACCAUAUUCUGAACAACCGGAGACGUCCAGCGAAGACUGUGAAGUGGAGUAAGAGGGAAUGCGGCAAUCAGAGGAACCCUAAUUAUACCGAAAAGUGACAAAUUCGAAGAAUGAUACCGUUGAACUGGAAACAUUAAAAAAAAUAACCUUAACACCUCCUAAUUUCAGACUCCUAACGCAAGAUGGGGGGAAAAAUAGAAAGACGAAAUUACCCUUGAAGGAGAUUCCAGACGUGUGCGAUGUAAUUGCUCUCACCAAAUCACAACCCGCCAGGGUUGAUCCCUUGUUUCCGAACGAAAAUGAAAUGGCAAAUGCAUAAACAGCCACGUGUCUGUUCACUCUCGGACUGAUCUGAACUGCGCGGGUCCCUAUGAAAUAUCCAUAAUCCAUCCAAAGUCUAAUCCUUUUCUUUGGGCAAAGUUAAACCAUCCAUCCGAUCAGUCGCAAGGGGCGUACUCACAAAUCCAAUACUAACAAUAAACGAUGUCGUUAGUGUCGCAAAUGAGAGGCUUGAUCUUCCUUUACUUCAAAUCUUCACGACCGUCUUCUAGCAAGCCUCUGACGGCAUAUCUCUAUAAGCCCUUCAAGGUACGCACACACGCAUGGAACAUAAAUGAUCGCAGUUGAUUAGUUAACGAUCAGAUUAAUUUUUGAUCUUAUUAUUAUUAUUUUUUUUUUUUUUUUUGGGUUCGUGUCUAUUACGUUAUUUUGACAUAAUUAAAUAAAUGAAUAUUGUGUCAUAUCAGAGGUACGGUAGCGAAGGAGCAAGCAAUAAAGAUCAAAAUAUAAGUAGUCUUCAUCCUGAGAGGCAUGGGAGAGCGCCGUCAAUAGCUGAAGAGUUCGAGAGAGUUGCAGAGGAAAAGCUUCGAGCUGCGGGUCAAGGUGUUGCAAGUCAGGCGAAGGACAAGGUUUAUGAUGGAGCCGAAGAAGCUACCCGCGGUGCCUCCAAUGUUGAUUCUGUCAAAAACAGAUUCGAGGGGCAUGAACAAGGAGCUGAUUACCGCGGGAGGGGAGAUUGAGAUGUUUAAUAAUUAGUUUCAGAUUCUGUGAUUUUGAAUAAGUUGAUGGAGUAUGUGCAAGUCAUCAAAAACGUAAAAGUCUUCUCUAUUUCGUUUCUUGUUUUGAUGGUGAGUUUUGGUAUGAUCAAGUUGAUGACAUUGGGAUAAAAUUACGGUUUUGUAAUGUAUUUGUGGGUUCAUUAAUUCAUAUUGGCUUUAUAAUAUAUCUGUGAUUGCAUCUUAAAAAUUGUUGCAAAGAAAUAACUGAAGCUAUAUGAAUGUAAUUUUCGAACAAGCGUUAUUAUCAGAGUAAUUUUUGACAAAUUUUCUAAAGCAUGAAAUGCUGAUGCUGUCUACAUCAUCAUCCGGAUUCCUGAUCAAAUAUGGAAAAGGAUGAGAACCAAAAAAUAGAAUAAAAUAUGAACGCACAACUUUGACUCCAGCACUAAUCACAACUAACGCGGGCCCUGUGCAAGGCUUAUCUCUCGGUCUCUGGUGCUUGAAUAAAUGGCAAUGAGUUGGUCCUUCUCCAUCUCUCAAAAUUCUUUGUAAAAUUCCUUUCUUAUUAAAAUUACUUAAAUGCCCAAAAAUUAAUUAAUUAUCUUUAUUUUAAAUAAAAUUUAAUUAAAUAUUAUUUCAACAACAUUUCUACACCUAUUCCAUUUCAUAAUUUUUAUUUGUAUUUUAAAGUUAUAAUUAAAAAAUAUUUUUUAAAGAAAAUUGUAUGAAUUUUGAGUUAUGGAAAUAUAAAUAAUAUAACAAAAAAGUAAUUAAGGAUUUUAGAAUUUAUAUGUUUUUUAAUAAUGAAUAAUUAAAAAUUUUUAAGCUGAAAUUUGGUAAAAAUAUGGUUACUUCUUUUUAUAAAUAUAUUUUAUAUAUUAAACUCACAUUUUUUAGAAAAUAAAAGUUAUUAUGAUUUUAUAGGGUGUUAAGAAUCCGCCCAAUGGGGAUUGCAUGAUUGAGCCCAACAAAGGCCCACUAAAAACAUAAAGCAGUCAACAAACAAAACCUGGCUCGGCUUCUUCACUUACUCCUGCAUCGUUUCUUCUCUAUUUUUCUCACUUAUCUAACAAACCGCCAUCAAUCAGCGGCCGCCGCCGCAAGCCGCUAGUAGCAGUCCCUUGGUUGCCCAAAUCGCCGGUUUUCUCACUUUUCGCAGUAAGUUUUUUUCUGAGAAAUUAAAAUUUACUCUCUGAAAGUUAUUAUCAUUUUGAAUGUUUAUCGGCUUAGCACCCUUAAUUGUAUCGCUAUCAUUACUGAAAAUAUCAAACAACAGAGAAAAACAUUUGCUUUUACAUCUGAUUAAAAGCUUCAAUUUGUGGUGACAGUUCUUUUUCUUACUGUAUGUGAGGUAGGGGACCUGCGUUUUGAUUUUGUUUUGUAUUGGAACUUACUUGACAAUCCCAGAGCAAUUUUUACAAACUUUCAACAUUAUUAAUUUGGUUUCAUUGCAUUUUUUGAAUAAGUGGAAUCAGAAACAACAGUAAAUUCCAAGCUAAUGUUUGUUUAGACAUAUAGUUGGCUUCUCUUACAUUCUAUGUGUUCUUAUGGUUUUUUUUUUUUCGUUUUUUUGUUAAUGUUCUGUCAGAUUUCAUAUCUGUAGGAAAUAAUAGUGGGAACAAGGCAGAAAUGAAUGCUUUCAAAGCUUUUAAAGCCUGUGUUCCAAUUGAAUGGAGUCCAAACUUGUAUAUAACCCUUGUGAGGGGGAUGCCAGGCACGAGAAGGCUUCACAGACGCACUUUAGAGGCAUUACGUCUCCGGAAAUGUAACCGCACUGUGAUGCGCUGGAACACUCCCACCGUCCGAGGAAUGCUUCAGCAGGUAUCAGGAAAAUCUCAAAGUGAAAAUUUUUUUUUUUUAAUACAUUUUCAUGCAAGGGUCUUUCUCUAUAUUUGGGUUCUUUUGCUGCUUUCAAGUCAGCAGGUAUCAGAAAAGGCUCAAAAUGGUUAUUUUUCUUUUUAACAUAUUCGUGCAAGUUUCUCUGCUUUUGGGUUCAUUUGGUGCUUACAAAUACCAUAUAUAUAGGUAAAAAGGUUGGUUGUAAUUGAGACAGAAGAGAUGUAUAAGGCUCGCAAAGAGAAGUUGGCCAACCACAGAGCUCUACGCCCCCCCUUGGUCAUUAAUCAUCUGUCAAGUUCUACAACUCAAUCCACUUAGCUACCUUUGAAAUUUUUCACAAGCUUGGAUUUCCUCCUCCGUUUACGUAGUAAUUCUGUUUCCUGUAAAAUUGUUGCUUCCUAUGAUAGUCAUAUGCUUUGGUCAAAUCUGGUUAAUAUGUCUAAACAUUUUAGUGUGAGAUGCAAGCUCUUUACGAAUAACUGCUUAUCUCUUCUAUGGUGAUGAAUUUUAUUUUUCUAGAAGGGAAUGUUCCUGCUGUAACAAAUAAAAGUAAUUUUUAGACAUUAGGUUCCAAGUCUAAUACAUAAUCCAACUGAUGAGAUGCUUGUCUGGAUUGUUCAGCCACCACAAGAUUUUUCAACUAAGCAAUUUUCAGCCCCAAUUGCUUGGGACUAUGACAUUUUCCUUUGAAGUGCUAGUGCAAGAUCUAAGGUAGUUGUUUGCUAGAUUUAGUUAAUAAAUAAGGUUUAUGCAUAUUAUUUAAUCAAUUUUGGCAUAUUUAGAUUUCAAACCAAAAACAAAAAACAAAUGCCACCUAGUUUCUCUUGGAUGCCAUUCAAGGUUUUCAGAUUUUCAUUUUGUUGUUUAGUUUUUCUCUUCUCAUCAGUCACCUUUUUGGUACCUGUUUGAGUAUGUUUAUUACUUCCAGAACUUGAUAUCUUUGGUGAAUAAACAUGAAAAAAAAAUAUAGUCUAUUUUAUCGUUCUAGCACCUUCUGCUUGGUGAUGAAUAUUCAUGUUGAUCAAGGAUCUUGAACCUUCUUCUUUUUUUCCCUUCUCUCUCUCUCUCUUUUAAUUGAAUGUAGAAUGCAAGUUGCAAUAUUUGUAUCCAAUCCUCCCUAUUUCUAGUUUCAUUUCUUACCAGUACCAAGUUUUCUGAUACACUUAAUAUGAAAAUUUGACAGAAAACUUAAAGUUUGUAAGGAAAAAUUGGGGAGAAAAAACCAAAAAUGGGGGGCUAGAUUACCAUACAUUUACUGUAAAGUGCAGCUAAGCAAAAAUCAGAAACUGAAGCAGGAAUUAAGUCAGCCGGUUAAUAAUUUUUGUCUGAUUGUACCUUACGAAAAAUGUAAAUUAGCAAGAUCCAAAAAAGUUUGAAGGGCUGUAAAGGCUGAUGGACUUGGUCGAGCUUUUCUUAGAUGUAUUUUGACAAGCAAUAAUGUUAGGGCAACUGGUAUCAUAUGAUUCAUAUCCCAUAUGAUGUUUCUGCGGAUUUGUAAUUGUGACAUCCCUUUUCAUACGUUGAUAGAAAUUAAUGAAUUCACUGAUGUGACAUUUACAAAUCAACUACCCCAUCACUUGGUUUCCAAAUUUUGGGGUACUGCUUAGAAUCUAGCACUUUCGUUUGAUGAAUUUCUAUGUCAUCAAUUUCCUCGUCUUCUGAAAUCUAUCUCAUGGUGAUCAUUUUGAUAACCUAGUUCAAGUUAUAAACCGUGAGAUCUUUUAGGUGUAGUAAGCAGUCAUAUUAUAGAUGACACUAUUCUGGAUAUGGAUAUAUACUACCGAUACCGAACCCGGAAACUUGUCGUCCGAGCAAACACUUUCAAGUUUUGAGCGAAUGGACCCAGAAAAUUGCCAUCCACACGCAGAAGUAAAGUAAAAUAACGAUCUUGUAGUUUAAUGGCAUACACAUUAAUCAGUUGAAAACGUUAGGCCCCGAAAGAUCAUGUUUUCUUCAGCUUUGCAUUUAUAUUCAUAUGCACUAUCUUUUCUUUUAACUUCUCACAGCAUUAAAGCCCUGAUAUUUUUAAAAGCGGCAUGCAAUAUGUGAAGUGUGUCUCAUCGAUUCUUGCCCAAUUGUUCUACCUAUUCAAUGAAGCAUUUGUGUGAGUGAAAUCUUUUAUCACAUCUCAGCUUAAAUAAAUUCAUUUACUUGUUUCUCCAUCGCAUUUCCUUCUGUUUUGUUUCAUAAUUUUAUUAAAUACGUCGAAUAUUGGUUGUUCCAAUGGGUUAAAACCAAUUUAUUAAUACUGAACAUGUAUUAGCUGGAAGCAAUCAAGAGAUUAUCAGUAUGCGAAUCAAGGCUGUAUAAUCUAUGUAAUUUAGCAAAAACUCCGACUAGUGUUGCGGUAUUAUACGUGCAGGCCUCUGUCUGCACAAAGUUCGACCGUUCAUCUCGAAACUGAUCCUUCUCGUCGGGCCCACCGACGAGGGCCCCAACAACAACAUUCGGGUUGGGAUCAAGCCGUUUAAACCAAUCAUCAUACCCCUGGGUGCACCCGAUAAAACCCUGGUCCUGUUUGUAAGACACGGUAGAACCUCCUCUGUGGUGCAUUCUUUGAGGGAACUUUGAACCAUAGCCCACCAAGUAACUAACCGCCAUUGGAUUAGAGCCCAAGAUGUAAUCAACCUGUGAUUUGGCAAAGUCAAAGAGUUCCUGGGGGGUCAACGUGCCGCGGUCGCACUUAAGCGUCUGAUUUGUUGACUGAAGGUAAUCACCGUAAACAGUGAGCAGAAACGCAGCCGUUGACACGUACUGCAUGUUGUUCCAUUGGCGGAUGUACAGUAGGCCUCCCGGGGUGCGAUCCACGUUGGUCUCAUUGUUCUUGUUAAGGCACGCACAGAGAUAAAAUUCAGCUUUCGAAAGGUAUCGUUCAAGAACUUGCUCGUGUUCCUUGUGAUUAUUCACCAUUGAAGCGAUGAUUUGAACGCCAGCGUACUUAACGUCCCAGCUAAAUUCAGUAAUGGCCCAAGUGAUCCCACCAAAACGAUCGGCAUUAUCAAGCACGUACUUCAAAUACGCCUCGUUGUCGGUUGCCUUGUGUAGCCACACAGCCGCCCAUAACAACUCGUCCAUGUAUCCACUAACCGACGGAUAGUACCCCUUCACUACCUCUAUACUACUGUCGUAUUUCCCUCUGUACUUGUCACCAAACUCAAACAACUGCAAAACAAAAUGCUUUUGUAAUUUGUAAUAUAAACUGGAAUUAAUUAAUUAAUUAAAGCAUGCUCUAAAUUUGGUUACUAACAAAACUCUCUUGUUUUGGUGAGUAUUGUACCUACCAUAUAUAUGUAUAUGCUUAUGGUCACUAUUAAGUCACUACUAUUACAAGUUAACAACCUCAUUAACUGACUUACCUGUUGCGCGUGGUGCAAUAGUAGGUGAGAGUAAUGUGGGUUUAGUUUCCUAAACACAAUUGAUGCUGCCGCCAUUGCCGCUGCCGUCUCUCCGGCGACAUCCGAGCCGGGGUUUCUCUCGUCUACUUUGUAAGCACGCCGCGACGUCGUCAUGUCUUCCGGCCGCUGCCAACAGUAGUGAUCGGUGUCUCCAUCACCCACCUGGUAAUUGUUUAAGGCUGAUUGAAUCAGAAAAAAAAAAAAGGGGCCAUUGUUGUACAAAUUAACAUUUUAUAUUUUUUUCCAAGGAACGAUUUAAUUUUACCUCAACCCAUAAUACAUGAGGGUGAGUGUGAGCUUUGAUGAAAUAAUCAGUUCCCCACUUGAUGGCCUCGAUUGCAUGAUGAUACUCGCCAGCGUCGGAAAUUUCUCCACCAUACUGAAUAACUCCCCAGGAGAGCAUUGUUAUAGUAAAUGCCAUUGGCAAACCAAACUUCACAUUGUCACCAGCAUCAUAGUACCCUCCCACCAAGUCCACCUACACAUAAUUCCCAUCAAAAUAUACGUAUAUAUUAUUCUUCAUCGUAUUUGUAUUCAUGUAUACAUUUGCCAUCGCCUGUCUAUGGGUGCAUGUACGUGUUUAUAACAUUUAUUAAGGAAAUAUAUAUUUGAUGGGUUUAUAGAGUGAAUGGUCUUACUCCUUGUUCUAGGCCGUCGGUGAGGCCGGAGUGGUGGCGCCAGGUGACUCUUUGGUUGUGCGGCAACCGGCCGGAGCGUUGUGAUUCGAAGUAGAGGAGACUCUUGGAGAGAGCAUCGCCGUAGUUGAAGGAGUCAUGACAUUGUACUAUUAGGGGUAAGGUCAGAGCCAUCAUGUAAAAUAAUAAACCAAAUGAAAUUUGGAAAUAUUUUGGUUGCUUCACCACCACGCACUGCUCUUGUCUUUUCUCCUCCAUUUCUAUUGAUCUCUCCAUUUCUAUGGCUUCACUUACACCUCUAUAUUUAUAUUUGGUGUUUCAAAACGCAAGUAAUUGAAUAGAUAGGCCUACCAAAUAUACUAAAUUCAGGGUUUUGUAAUUUUUUUUUUUUUUAAAAAAAAAAAACAAGAACAUUUAGUUUAUAAUGAUCUUUGCGUGGUGAACUGCUUCUAAAGAUCGAACUUGAAAUAUUAUUAUUUAAAUCAACACUUUAGGACGUGUGGCAAAGAAGCCAGAAUAACUGCUGAAAAAACUCAUUCUUAUUAGGUUAAUUUAAUGCGUGAAUCACUUCUGAGUUGCACAAAUAUAAUAUGAUUUGCUUAGGAAUUAUUCUUGGUUUAAGUUAAAUUCGUUUGUUUAUUUAUUAAAAAAAAAAUGAAUAGUCAACAAAAAUCCCACGUAGAGGUGGACCCACGAUUCCUCGCCGUUUAAUGAACGUAACAUCUUUGGAUGGCAAUAACAAGUAAUAAUCUGACGGCUGGAGACAGUUUGAACCGGCUUCCACCGUUAUCAUUACUCUGUAAAGACAAAAUCUAAAGAAUAAGUGCUGAUGUAAUAGUAAAUGUCUGUGUGCCAUUUUUGGUUGAAAUCCAUCGUGUUUAGCAAAUAUGUAUAUUAAAUUAAGUCAGACAAAAAUUUGAAUUAGUGUUUAUGGGUUGUUUGUGGAAAGUUUUUUUAAAUCUUAUUUAUGAACUCAAUUCUGUCUAAACACUUAAUCCACGGAUUUUAAUCCAUUUAUUCUAUUCGGGCUUUGUUUUCAUGUCUUGAACCCAUUAAGAAAUUGGGUGAAAUAAUCAAAGGUAUUAUCAGUUGGGUUUGAAAGUGCUCAAAGUGAGCUCAUGCUGAUGAUCCAAUCCAAUAGGCUGGCGAUUUCCACCCUGCAUUUUAUGUAACCACAACCCACCAUAAAUAUUAGUAAAAUCUUUGUUGUUUGUCUAAAAUUUUAAUGAUUAAUCGAUUAAAUCCUCUUUAAUUUCUCUUUCAUCACUUAGGUUUAAUGUUUUCGUGGGCAAUUUAUGGUGCAUUUGGGAUUAACGUUGGAUAGUUGUAGCUUAAAAACUACAACACUAAAAUAUUUGAUAAACACUGGUUACAGUAACUUGUAAGCUUUGCUGAUAUGAUUUUUCAUUUAUAUAAUGAAAAAUUUAUUAUAUCUUUAACAAUUUUGUCAAAAUAAUUAUUUUAAAUAUAUAUUUACUACAUAUUAUUAAUUUUUAUUUAAUAGUUAUAAUUUUUUUCCUCAGCAGCUAUAAUUUUAAAGUUACAACAUUUCAAUCUCAAAUAGGACCUUAGUCGUUUCACAUAAUAAAAGUAAAAUUGUUAAAUUAAUUUUGUUCUAAGGCAAAAGAUAAGUAGUCCUAGACGGUGAAACAAUUCAGGUAACAAAAGAUAAAUUAAAAAUUUAAGAAGGAUUUAAGUGAUUGAUUACCAAACUACCAAUUUAUUUGAGUUUUAGACAAACUAUCAAGCAUCUUUUUUAUAAAUUGCCUUGUUCGUGGUUAGUGGGUGUAAUUGUAUUAACAAAUGGGGUGGAAAUAUACCCAAUCCACUAAAACUUUGCUUUACCCAAUACUGUAGUUUGGCCCAAAGGGACAAGGUUGGACCUUUCUUACUUCUUAGCUAACUCAAAGGCUAGGAGCUUGCCGUUGAUUAUUGACCAUUGACAUUCUCAAUUUGAAUCGUUCACAUCUUUCAAAAUCUUUGGCGAAAUAAAUGCCCUUCUUUGCAAGCAAUUGCCUAGGCUUCGUUUGAUAAGUUGUGUAGAAGCUAGGCUUGUAAAAUUAAAAGUUAUUAAAAUAUUUGAUAAACACUUUUCACUUUGCAUGUUAAAAUUGAUUUUACUUUAUAAUUAUUGAAUGAUAAGUUUAUGCUAUCCUUAUUAAUUUAACUUGGGAAAAUAUCCACCGUCCACCCGUUUUUUUUUUAACUUUUUCAAUAAUACACAAUUUCUUCUUUUUUUGGCUGGAAUCCACCUAAAAUUACAUUUUGUUUCACUUUUUCACUUCCGUUUGGAAUCCGUUAAGAAAACUAACGGAAACUUUUAAAAAAUGACCAUUUUACCCCUCAAAACGAAAAUUACAAUUUCACCUUAAAAAUUAUCAAAAAUAAUCAGAUUAAAUCUAAUUAUUUUUGCCAUCGGUCAAUAAAGAAAUUAAUUCCACAACCAUCAAAUGCAGGUUUUUUUUUUAAUAUGUCUGUAAUUAGAAUGCUGAAUUAUAACAGUAGUAUUAAAAAUAGUAUAAUCUCGCAAACCACCAAUUGAAUUUAAGAUAAGUAGAGUUUUAUUAUUCAUUGAGUUAGAAUCUCUAGUAGUUAAGAUUUUUUUUUACUUCAUUAACAUACCAAUAAUGAUAUUCAUCAUUAAAUCUGAUUAUUUUUAGCAUUUUUUAGGGUGAAAUUGUAAUUUUCGUUUUGGGGGUAAAAUGAUCAUUUUUUUAAGUUUCCGUUAGUUUUCUUAACGGAUUCCAAACGGAAGUGGAAAGUGAAACAAAAUGUAACUUUAGGUGGAUUCUAGCAAAAAAAAAAAGAAAGAAUUGUGUAUUUUUAAAAAAGUUAAAAAAAACGGGUGGACGGUGGAUAUUUUUCCAUUUAACUUUAAAAAAAUUUUUUAACUACCAAACACUUCUAUCGGACAACUAAUGCUUUCAUUUUAAAACAGUUAGUGACUUCAAAAUCACAACAUUCAAUGCCAAACACAAGCUUAGUCCUCUAAUUCCGCUCAAUUGGUUCUAUUACAAACAAAAAAAGGGGUAGAAAUUUCAUUCACUAGCCACAAUCUCUAUUUUACUCGUUCAUGGUAUGGACAUGCAAGGAAAGCUCACACACAGUAACAUAUGUGUGAGCAUUAAUUCUAUAGCAUCAAAAUGCAAAAACUCUGGCCUAUCAUGUCAUAAAAUCCUUCCGGCGAGGUCGGCCAACACAAAGCAACAAAGCCAUCCCCCUUUGCUGUGUUUUUGGUGAGCAGAAACCUGCCGACCUCCCUACUUCUGUUGACAUUAUAAUAACUCAUAUUAUAUAAAAUCAUCGAAAUUUCACACACACAGACACAGGUUGGGACCAAGAGCGCACACGUGCCUCUUCAACACAAAAUUGACAUUUAUUUAUUAAUUAUUAAAUGAAGGAUUGAAUAUCACUCAAGUGAAGGGAUAAGGUCAAAAAAUAAUUCGAGGGUUUGUAUUGUAGCUAGUCCAAAGAACACGCUUCAAGAAAACAAGUCAAGGUGGAGUUGGAAACAUUUUUUUAAGCUUUUUUUUUAUUUUUUUAAUUUAAUAUCUUCAAGGGCAUUUAGUGGGGUGGUGAGUGUACCACUCUAAUUUCUCAACUGAAACCUACCAACUAUUGACGUAUAUAAUAAGAGAAAGGGCAAAAGUACAGUAAAAUAUUUGAGCAUUCCCCAUAAAAAGUUUCUUAAUUCUCUAGUUCUCCAAAGCACUUGUCUUAGGGAGUCGUGCUAGCUUUUCAUGAAUCAUUUACCCUUUGAGUGGAAUUUAAGUCUCCAUGCAACGCGUCGAACGUCAUGUGUUCGUUUUAAAUUUUCAAUUUAGCUUCUUGCGAGCCCUAAAUGCAACUCGUAGAAGUUAACUAACAAAAUAAGCAACUUGCAUUACUUAAUACUCUUGAUCAUCCUGUUUUAGCUUCUUUAUUUAGAUGCAUCUGUUGAAAAUUUAACAAUAUCGAGUGAAUUUGUUCACCCAUUCGAACCGUUUUGCUGCUUAAUUUUUCGUAUUCCAAACAAACGAAUUCAAAAACUACAACAGUGGUUCUGGGAAAUAGAAAGGUCAUUUCCCAUUAUUUAUUUAUUUAUUUAUUAUUAUUGAAAAUGAAGGAUAACAUGGAAAUCAAUUUUUGAUCACGUGAGACCCAGAAUACACGUGACUCGUCUUUUCGGGGCAAUUAAUUAGUAAAAAAGCAGUGGCUAGCCUCGAUUGCCAUGACAUUCUCUGAUGAUGACAAAUAUCAAACUGCAAAGAAACAUGAUGAUGACUUUGAGACCACCCAAAUGCAUCCGUCCACAGAAACCAAUCGUGUCAAAGUGUGUGUUUGUUCAAUUUGUUGUUAUUUUUCAAAGGAGCCGUUGAAGUUGGUGAUGCCAUUGAUUCCUUGUUGAUGUUUCUGCCCAAAAAAGGACAACUCUUAUGUUUUGAAAUUACCAAAGGGAUGAGUUUUCUGCUACCAAUUUGGAUUCACAUGCAACUUUGAUUAAGUUAUAUAUGCGUGCUUAUUGCCAUAUACGAUGCAGCACUAAUAGAUAGAAUUUGUUAGAUCAUCCUCAUAACUAAACUCGAAAAUAUAACAUUCGAGUCAAGUUCUAAAUUCUUGGGUCAUGCGGAAGAAAUUUUAUUAGAUAACGUAUGUGUAAAAAGAAGAAAUGAAAGAAACGUGAUGCAACAAACGUAGAUAAGUUUUUGUAAUGACCUCUCUAAUCUACAAAUAGAACUUAUGUGUUGCUAAAAUUUGGAAAAGCUUGCAACAUUUAACAACUACUGACAACAUAAUGUUUUAGGUAAUCUAAAAUGAUUUAGGUUGUGCAUAUGGUGUGGUGAAACAAAGAUUUAAUGUACAAAUUGAAUAGGGAUGGUAAAAUUCAAAGUCGUAUCUAUAAAUUUUUUUGCGGAUCCAGAUGCGGGUAAUAUCUGUGCGGAUUGCGAGCGGAUUUUUCACAUAUCCGAAUCCACAUAAUAAUAAAUUUAAAAAUAAUUUUAAAUUUAAUAAUUUACCUAAUAAUAUUAAAUAAAAUUUAAUUAUAAUUUAACAAUCAACAAUUCAACAUAAAAAAGCGUACAACAACACCAUAAAUUCACAAAUGAUAAUUUCACAACAUAAAUCAAACAUAAAAAAAAAAUCUAAGGUAAAUGGAUUCAUUAUAAUAUUCUCUAAUUAUUAUUAUUAUUAUUAUUUGUUUAGUUUUUUAACAUAUUUUUCAUAGUCAAUAAAGAUUAUAGAGUUAAUUAUGCUUAUAAAUAUUAAAUAAAUAAUUUAAUUUAAAUUUAAAUUUAAUUAAUUAUAAAAUAAUGUGAAUUCAUAUAUUUAAUUUUCCAGAUACAAUCUGUAUUUUUUAACAUAUGAAUUUAAAUUUUUAUGUAUCCAGAUCUUCUGAAGUUUAUUUUAUUCCCAUCCAUUAAAUCUUUUUUUCUUCCCUAGCUAAUGAUGUGACAAUAUGUGAAUUUAAUAUUUCCUAAUAAAUUGACGGGGAGAAACAAAAUAACAACGAUGAAUGCAGAUUGACUUCAUUCAAUCAAUCGCUCCUCUCAUGAAGAGGCAACCAAAACGGAUAGCAGUUCGAUACCUUCAAGGCUAAGCCUCCAGUGUGAACCGACUGACAAUUACACAGUACCAGAUUUUUAACUAUAAAUAAUGUGCCAAUCAAAUAGAACUAAUAUUCUAAUAAUUAGGCACGGAGCUAAAAUUUAGGGUUUUUUUUUUUUUUUUGUAUAAUUACGAGCUUAAUGUGAGGCCCCGUUAACGAAUUCCACUAAUUUGCUUUAAUAAUUACAAUCAAAUCAGCGUAGCUGGCCAAUCUCAACGUUCGAAUCGGUAAAUUCGUAAAUUUCACCUCAAAUCAUCAUUGCGUGUGGAAAUAUGUAAAAAGCUGCACAAUGCACCGAAGCGACGUCCGCAAUUCACCGCAAACGAACCAUGACACGUGUACGGCAAACAACACACGCCAUUUGGCGAAAAUCCAACAUGGAGGUCGAGAUUUUCCGUUAGUAUCGUUUGCCAAAAUACUCUCCUCCAGAAUCUAAAAUGUAAAUCUCCUUCAACAAAAUACGAGCUUAAUUAAAUCUCAACCGCCCAUAAAUAACAAUAUUGUCGACGCAUGAAAACAAAAAAUAAGAGAUCGUUAACAAUUUUAUCAUCACCACGUGGACCCACCUCAACGUCUUCUUUCUUUCUCCAUUUUCCCACUUACCCCACUCUCACGUUAAUUCCUCUCUAUAAAACCGCCAUUAAACCACCAAAUCCCAAAAGAAAAAAAUCUACCCUCACCUCUAUCAAUGGCGACCCUUGCUGCAUUCUCUUCCUUCUUCUUCUUCUUCUUCCUCGUAACCUUCGCUUCUGCAGGUAACUUUUAUGUUAACUCUUCAUUGUUAAUUUAGUAUAUGAUUUUUUUCCAAUAUGAUCCCCGUUAUUGUCCCCUCAGUUUUACUAAUGUUAGCAUUACGGCCCCUGUCGAACAAAAUUUUUUAAUUUCCAAUUGAGCAUUAAUAUUUUGUUGCAGAUACUGGCAAGGUAGGUAUAAAUUACGGCAGAGUUGCAAACAACUUACCGUCGCCGGAGAAAGUUGUGGAGCUGCUGAAAUCUCAAGGAAUCGGCCGAGUUAAAACAUACGACACUGACUCAGCCGUACUCGCUGCACUCGCGAACUCGGACAUAAGCGUCGUCGUUGCGUUCCCGAAUGAGGAACUCUCCAAGGCCGCAGCUGACCAGUCAUUUACUGACAACUGGGUCCAGGCCAAUAUCUCCAAGUACUACCCGGCAACGAAGAUCGAGGCCGUCGCAGUGGGCAACGAAGUCUUCGCAGACCCGAAGAACACGACGCCGUUUCUCGUCCCCGCCAUGAAGAACGUUUACAACUCCUUGGUUAAGUACAAGCUUGAUUCUAACGUUAAAGUCUCCUCUCCUAUUGCUUUAGGUGCGUUACAAAAUUCGUACCCGCCAUCUUCCGGGUCGUUCAAAUCGGAUCUCAUCGAGCCCGCUUUGAAACCCAUGUUGGAGUUUCUACGUAAGACGUCGUCGUAUCUCAUGGUUAAUGCGUAUCCUUUUUUCGCCUACUCUGCUAACGCGGAUAAGAUAUCUUUAGACUACGCUCUGUUUAGGGAUAAUCCCGGUCAGGUGGAUUCAGGUAACGGGCUGAAGUAUAGUAACCUUUUUGACGCCCAACUCGACGCCGUUUUCGCUGCCAUGUCAGCAAUCAGUUAUAACGACGUGAAGGUUGUGGUGACGGAGACUGGAUGGCCGUCUAUGGGUGACGAGAAUGAGGCGGGUGCUGGUGCGGCCAAUGCCGCGGCGUACAACGGGAAUCUAGUACGUAGAGUCUUGUCUGGAAGUGGGACCCCCUUGAGACCAAAGGACCCACUUAACGUUUACCUCUUCGCUUUGUUCAAUGAGAAUCAAAAACAGGGUCCCACAUCGGAAAGGAAUUACGGGUUGUUUUAUCCCAACGAACAGACGGUGUACGACUCGCCGUUUGUGUCAACUAGUGGGAACUCAAGCUCAACGCCGGCAGCCAAUAAGAGCAAGACUCAAGUUCCGGUGAGCGGAGGAGGCGGUGGUGACGUGUCGCCCUCGGCGGCGGGACAGACUUGGUGCGUGGCUAACGCGAAUGCUGGUGAGAAAAAGUUGCAAGCCGCAAUUGAUUAUGCCUGCGGAGAGGGAGGCGCUGAUUGCCGACCGAUUCAAGAGGGCGCCACGUGUUACGAUCCUAACACGUUAGAAGCCCAUGCAUCGUAUGCCUUCAAUAGUUAUUAUCAGAAGCAAGUGCGUAAGGCUGGAUCUUGUGAUUUUGGUGGUGCGGCCUACGUGGUCACGCAGGCUCCUAGUAAGUAUCCAAUCCCUUCUCCCAAUUAUAAUUUGUUGUGUUAAAUGUUAAAUUAAUUAUUUGUUUUGAUAUAUAGAUUUGAUUUUAAGCUUUAUUAUUAUUAUUAUUAUUAUUAUGGCUGAAAAAAAACUGGGUGUUUGCUGUUUGUGAUGCAGAAUAUGGAAAAUGCCAGUUCCCAACUGGCUAUUGAGUGGGAAAAAAAAUAGGGAGCAUUAGCUGAUUUGUGGUCGCGGCUUACGAUUGGUGAUGAUUUUUUCUGAUAGAUUUAGAGGAUUGGAACAUUAAUUUUUCUCCCUUGUAUUUAAAUUUUACGCUGAGUGGGUGGGGUUGUUAUCAGUUGGUUUGACUCUAGUGUCAAUAUGAUCAAAUCCUUAUUGUAUUUAUUCUAAUGAUCAUGAAUUUAGUCCAUUAUUUUAUGUGGAUACAGAUCAGAUUAUGAUGUUGCAGACUUUAUGUUAAUGUCAUUCGGCAUCUUUUUUGUUGUUUUAUUUUCUUGGCUUGAUAUAUAUGUAAUUUAUAUAUGUUGAAAAAAUAGCACGCAGAUUAUUAUUUCAGUCAUAAUUUUGAGUCAAACUUAUUUGGUAUAAUUUCUUUUGAAAGUAAUUUAAAAGUAAUGUAUUUAUAUACUCAAAGUGGUGAUGCUGAGAUGAAUAAAAAACUAACACUCAAAGUACACUUGUUGACUGUAUCGAAUAAAAGCAGGAGUUACAAAGAAUAUAAUGAUUUGUUAAAAUUUAGAAUUAGUUCCAGAAUUUAUUAUUUGCAACUGCUAAUUAAAUUCAGAAUUUAUUUUGAGAUUGUAACAGUUAAUUAAAUUCAAAUAUUAAUAAGAAAUUAAAUCUAGAAUAAAAAAAAACAUGAUUAAUGGGCUGCAAUUACACUUUUAAUGAGAUAUUGAAAGUAGAGGUUACAAAAUUUAUGUAGUUAAAAUUAUGGAUAAAUUCAUUAGAUAAUCUAAAUUCCUCCACUAUAUCAUGUAUGCCUUUUUCAUAAAGUUCGAACACAAUGAAGUUUGAUGUAAAUAGGAUAGUGGUGCAAAAUAAUUAUUUGAUCAACCCCAGAGUAGUACCCAAAAGUUCAAGUUUUAUUUACUUAACCAACGUGUGUUUAGUUGAAAGAUGCAACUUUUUUUUGUGUUGGAUUCAAUUUAGUCACACCCAUAACACAAACAUACGAACUUUACGAAUACAAAUCGUUGUAGAUAAUCAUGUAAAGAGAAUUGAUGUUGUAUUUUUGUAAAACGAUGAUCUUUUUUAGGCGCUCUGAGAACUUUCCAAGUUAUGAGCUAGUGGCAGUGUGCAGAAGCCCAAAAAAUAAUUAUCUUGUCAAAAUGGCCCCGGCAAAUUUCGGCAAUGGUCUGGUCCGUUUGGCAAAUAUUAACAGAAGAACUUCUUUGUUCUCAUUGAACACAUAGCCUUUAGUCUGCUUACGGGAGGAAAGACAAGAACUGCAAAUUCUAUUCUUUUAUAAAUUUAUUUUAUACAAAUUGAUUUCUUUUAUAAUCUAAUUUGUUAAACCUAUUAACAUUAUCAUGGUCUUUUAAAUAUAUGAAGAUGAAUAUUAUGAUAAAAAUAAAUAAAGUACUCUUGUUUAUUGGCAUUUUGCUUAUAUACUUUGGCAUUUUGCUUUAACUGGGGAUCCAUAAUGGCAACAUGGAUGUAAGACACCAUCAGAUCAACUUAAAAAAUUCAUUGCGAGAUGAGUAUUUUUAAAUUGAUGGGAAAAAGAAGGAGCAUCAAUGCGAGAUUAAUAAAGUUUUGCAAAGCAAUUUAUUCAAUUAAUUAUUUUUAUAACUUUUAAUAAGUUCAUGUUUCUUGAUUUUCCGUUCUUGAAAUUUGGAGGAAGGAAGAUAAAAUUUUCAAACUAGAAGAAACAAAGAGGGUGGGAGGGAAUUAUUUGACUUUUGAUAAAUUAAUUUUUAAGUUUAAAAAUUAUCGACACGUGUCAAAAAAUAAUUAGUUAGUGGUUCCACAUCAUCUGAUGACAUGAAACAUCAGAUGUAUUGUAGAAUUUGUUGGAGGUUGGUUGAAAGACGAUAAUAUUUAUUAAUUUUUCAAUUAUCGGAACUCAUGGUUAUUUUAUACAACCAAUCUACUUAUACCACAUCAAUUUGUACAUACUUAUUUAUACAAAGUAGUUGUUACUCUUAUCAUUACUCAAUUGGAAGAGGAACCGAGGAAAUAUCUCAAGCUGCCCUCCUCACAGCCACUUCUAAGGCUGAGUGGCGAGUGGCUCUCUUACCGUUGGUAAAACAAAUGGGCCUUUCAUGCACUGGAUCUAAAAUGUUGGGGCUGGAGAAGAACAUGACCAACUAUACAAUUUCCUUUUUGAAAAAUAAAAUAAAAUAAAAUUGAUAGCUACAAUUUCACGACAUUUAAGGUCAAUUGUGUUUAUAUUGUAGUAAAAUUUAUUUUUAAAAGUACUAUAAAUUUUAAAAAUAAUAGUAUAUAUUAAUAAAUGUUACUGUUAAAUUGCAAUUCGUAUGAUUUUAAAUUUGCUACUGUCAAGUCUACGCUAUUUUAAUAAAUACCAGCACCUUCCUAUUAGGGUAUUAUCAUUGAACAAUAACUACGGUAUGUAGAUGAUCCACAAAGUACAGGUGGCAUACGGCAAUCAUUUUCUUAAUUAAAUAAGGAUUCCACUCCGAGAUAUCUCGUAUGAACUCCUACAGUGCCAUCAAAAUUACUUGUACAUGUACACAAGAUACUUUCUUUCACCAACUAUCAGCCACAAAUAAUGUGAUAAACAACACAAACAUGGUUACAUGAACCCCACUUUUUAUAUUUAUAGUUAAUUAAAUUGUAAAUAUAUUUUUCAUAAUAAAAUUUAUAAUAUUAGGAAAUUUAGUUUUUUAUUGUUUCAAAAUUAUUUUGAUUUUAUAAAAAAAAAAUAUAUUAGCAUUUAAGUUGAUGAUUUGUCUCCCAUGAAAUUUCCCCCAGAGUUUUAUGAGGAUAUAAAAGGGGUGUGACAAGCAAUACUCAAUCAUGGCCCCACGGCAACAGGGUUCCCCCAGAAAGGUUUUGGGCCGUGAGUCCAAGGAUGUGGGUAAAAACUCCAACAACGUUUAUCUUACCUAGAAAAGCCCAAUAAAAUUCUGCCAAAGAAUUAAUGACGUGUUUACUUGAGGGUUUAGGGAAUGAGAAUGAAAGAAUAUGAAUAAACCUCAUGUUUAUUUGGUAAAAUAUAAUUUGAGAAUGAAAAUAAAAUAUGUGAGUCCCACACAAUUUGGGAAUAAAAAAUGAGAAUCUCAUUCCUAUGGAGGGAUUGGGAAUGAGGAUUCUCAUUUCUUUAACUGACUUUUGUAUCCUCUAAUUUUUUUCAUUAUUUUAGUUAUUAUUAUUUUUUAAUUAAUAUCAUUUUUAUAAUGAUAUUUAUACAUGUAUCUAAUUAAUAAAAAUUACAUUAUUUAAUAUUAUGAGUAUUUUGGUAAAUUGAUUCUCAUUACUAUUCCUCAUUCUCAUUUAUUUUACCAAGUAAACACAUCAAUAACAUUCCAGCACAUUCACAUUCUCAACCAAUUUUCAUUUCGCCCCAUUCUUUUUUCAUAAAAUAAACGGACCAUAAGUCAAUAACAGAAAGGAAUCAUUUCUUCUUAAUGAACCCUCAUCAUUUUUAUCACAUCAUUAUUAUGGUCCUAAAUGUAUGAAUACAAUUCAAAAUAAAACGACUUUGAAGUGUCAAAUCCAUCCAAUGCCUCUCAUAAAGUCAUCAAAAAUUUGGAACCACUCAGUAGUCUACCGUUUACUCCACAGUCAAAUAUGUAGAUUGCAAUAUCCUGGGUUGAUCGUACAUUUAUAAUUAUAAAAAUCUAUAGAUAUAUAUAUAUAUAUAUAUUUUUUUUUCAAUAAAAAAAAGCCAUUCAACAACCAAGUUUAAAAAAAUAUUAGAGUGCGAGAUAAAAUCCCAUUUUAGUUUAUAACAUAGCACAUAUAACAAAAGUAUUUAAACUUUUUUUUUGUUUUUGUUUUUCCCUUUUGGAAACAAACCGUUUAAAGUUCAAACCGAUUUAUAACUUGUACAUAACUUUCCUUAAAAAAUUGAUUGUACAGUCUACAUGAACGAUUAUUUUGGUAAAAUUAAUUACUAAACUAUAAACACAAUGACUAUUAAGCGGAGCUAUUCGGCCCCACUCUAUUAUCAAUGAGACCCCUCAAAGGCUCAAAUCUCUGUUUUAAAUGAAAUCAUAAAUUAAGGACAAAAGAAUGUGUGAAAACAAAAUAGGGUGGCAUUAUUGAGACCCAAUAUAAUUUUUUCAUGAAUCCAUCUACUUAUUAGUAUAUUAAUUAUUAAAAUUUGAAAUUUUAAUUUCUACACUAUAAACCUACUAAUAUACCCAUUAUACCCUUAUCAUCUUUAUAAUUAUUCGCGAAUUCUAGCUCCAAUUCCGACUUAUUCUUUUGUCAUAUUUUUACGGCCAAAUCCUCUUGACUUGUUCCAGUAGAUUCCCCCCCCCCCCCCCCCUUUUCUUCCUUGAUUGAAACUUUAUCUCAUUUAAAACUCCAAUUUUUAUUUUUUUUUUGGCGCUAGCUACAUUGUUCUUGGUUUAUGUUCAUGACAAUAAGUCUUAAAAAUCUUACUAAAUGAAACUCAAAAUAAAUUUGUAAUCUUCGUAUCUUUCGAAAGAGACCUUUCUCAAAUUAACUUUAAAGUUUAAAGUUACCAAAUUCCCAGCAGUCCGAAAUAGGAUUUUGAUAUUCACUUCAAAUUAUUUUUUUGCCCCCGGUUUUGUCAUAGCUUACUAGCUUUUAUCUUCCCAAAUAUAAAAUUCGUGAGGCAACAGACCAAGAGAAUGUGAAAUUGUGAGGUUUUGUCAUUAAAUUUUGCUUUUAUGUCCAAUUAUUAUUAUUAUU